This 60317-nucleotide long non-coding RNA is filed under the name Theobroma cacao (cacao). RNAcentral's name for it is "long non-coding RNA (TCAC_LNC006135)". The record is from RNAcentral. Lineage: Eukaryota; Viridiplantae; Streptophyta; Magnoliopsida; Malvales; Malvaceae.
GCCACUGUUGCUGGCUACUUCAUCCCCAAAGGUAGUCACGUCUUGCUCAGUCGUUACGGCCUAGGCCGGAACCCCAAGGUUUGGGAUGACCCACUGAAGUUCAACCCUGAGCGCCAUUUGAAGGAUGGUUCCAUGUGCGUUGAUCUGACAGAGACAGACCUGAGGUUAAUUUCUUUCAGCACAGGAAGGCGCGGGUGCAUGGGCGUGGCUCUUGGGACUGCAAUGACCGUGAUGCUGUUGGCAAGGCUGCUCCAAGGUGUCACUUGGAGGGUUCCACCGAAUGAGGCAAACAUCGAUCUCUCUGAGGCAAAAGAUGAUCUCUUCAUGGCCAAACCUUUGCAUGCACUUGGUCAACCUCGAUUGCCUGCUCAUCUUUAUCCAGCUAAUUAAUCAGUCAUGGAAAAGCUUCAGUUAUGAAUAAAGUUGUCAUUGCUUCUUUAGAAAAUGAAUAAACCUGUAAUUAAUUUGAAUAUUUCUUGUUAUGAUGCUCUUUUUAUGAAUGUUGAUUUCAAUUUCUCAAUGUGUGCUUUGUGACUUUUGAAUUACAUUACUAGCUGCUGAAGUAUUUGGAAAAUGCCCUUUAAUUGUUUACUAGUGAUUUAUUUUUAUUUUUGAUAAUUCAAAUAAACUUUGUACUGUAAUUAAUUUAUAUUGAAUAGUAUGUAGUUUUAUUAUUAUUAUUUUGAAAAUCAAAUUUAACAUAUAUAUAUUUAUAAUUGAAAUAAAUACACAAUGCAAAUUUGAUUUGUUUCAAUACAGUGCUAGGUUAUUGGGUUUGACGAUGGAAAUUUGAUUUAAGGGGAGAGAUUAAUGGGAUUUAAGGAUGGGUUUAAUUUGAUUUGGGGAAUGACCCUUCUUUCGUUUUUUGUUUUCUUGGGUUGUUGAUAGUCUGGUAAUUUUGAGUUUUGACUUUAAACAAACAUAGUUAUUUUAUCAUUAUUCAAAUUAGAAAUAUAUAUAUUUAAUUAAAAUAAUAAAUUUGAUGUAAAAGAUGGGUUAAAUGUUUAAAAUAUAUAUAAAAAAAUAUUAUCAUAAGAUAAUUUGAUCAACGUCCAUGAUAGAUUUUCAUAUAAAAUAUGAUCUAAUACAUAUAAAAAUUCAUUAGGCAUGGAUUUGGAUCAUACGAAGGUGAGAAACUCUCUCUUACAUCGCAAAUUUCAAACCUCCUGUUAGUGGUAUAUGAAAGAAAAAAAAUUCAAUAGUUAUCACAUAAGAUUAAUGAUCCAAUCUCUAUGAUUUUUUGUAGUAGUUUUAUUUCAAAGAAAUAGACAAUUAAAUAAAUGAUCUUCUAUUGAAACAAAUUUUGAAAAAAAAGGGUGUUUCUUUUAAUAUAAAAAUAAGUUAUCAAAGUUUUACCAUUAAUUGUCAUAUAAAACUAAUAACUUGGUCUUUAUUUUUUUUUAUAAUAAUUUCCUUAGAAACAAGGAGAAUUUGAAUAAAAGACUUACUAUCGAGACAAAUUUCGAGAAAAUAAAUGUAAUAAUGAGAAAAUAAAAGAAGUGUAUUAAGGCGGUUUUAGUAUAAUCAUGGUUUCGAGAAAAUAAUAAAAAUACAUUUUCAAUCUUCGUGAUCAAUAUACCAGAUUUGUUAGGUUUGAUAAUCUAAUUGAUGCUAGGAGGGCUUGUUGUUUUUUUUAAUGGAGGAAGGGGUAUUCGAACCCUUGCUUUCUAGGUAAAAGAUUAUGCAUCAACUAAUAAGCCAAAUACUCAGGUACAAGAGGCUUGCUUGAUGAUGAACGAAGUCUGGAUUAUCAACCAAAAACUAAGUGUCAUUUUAGCCCAAUAUGGUGACAAAGAUACCUAUUGGAGGAGAAGACAACCAAUGAUGAUGGGAAGAAUACCCCAAAUGGAAGGAACCAACGAUCAAACCAUGGAACAAACUUCUGAUGAGCGAAGAGGAGGACAAGGACAAUCCUACUCUCAAGUAAUAAGAAGAGUAAAGGAAACCCAAGAGUAGUCAAUUUCAAAGAAUGGAAAAAAAGGACAAGAUGUAGGGAGAUAUUGAGUGUGGAGUAAUUAAAUCAUUUGAAUUGCCUUGAAAAAAAAUGUUAUAUAAGACUAAUUAUUUGGUCGGGUGAUUUUCUACAGUUGUUUUUUUCCAAGGAAAUGAGGACUUUAAUAAAUGACCUACUAUUGAGACAAGUUUCUAAUAUGAAAGUGCUACAAUAAAUUGCCAAAUAAGAGUAAUUCCCAAGUCGUUUGCUUGAUUUUUUGUAACUAUUUCCUUUCUAGACAAAGGAAAUUUUAACAAAUGCCCUAUGAUUGAGCUAACUUUUGAGAAAAAGAAAUUCCUUUAAAUAUAACAAUAAGUUAUCAAAGUUUUACAAGUAAUUGUCAUAUAAGACUAAUUAUUCAGUCCAGAUGGUUUUUUGUAACUGUUUUCUUUUGAUAAAUUGGAGACAUAAAUAAAAGACCUACUGUUAAGAUAAAUUCUGAGAAAAUGAAAUUUUUUUUAGUAUUAUAAUAUGAGGGUUCUUCCAUUAACUGCAAUACACAACUAAUUAACCAGUUUGUAACAUUUUUUUGUAAUUGUUUCCUUCUAAGAAAAUGGGGAUUGGAAUAAAUGACCAACUUUUGAGACAAAUUUCGAGAAAAAGAAGUUCCUUUUAAUAUAACAAUAAGUUAUCAAAGUUCUAACCUUGAUGGCUAAGACUUAAUACUCAUUAUAUAAGAUUUUUUUGUAAUAGUUUUUCUAUUUAUUUUACAUUGAAUUUAUGUCAUACAUAUGUACGUGUAUAUAUAUAUGUAUAGAUGUAUGUAUAUAUAUAUAUAUGUAAAUGUAUGUGUGUGUGUGUUGAUGUCAAAGUUCUACCUUCAAAUGCCAUGUAAGACAAAUUACUUGCUGGUCGGUAUGAUUUUUUAUAGUCGUUUCCUUCCGAGAAAAUGAGGACUUAAACUAUUGAGACAAAUUCCAUAAAAAAGGAAUUCCUUUUGAUUAAACAAUAAAUUAUUAAAGUUUUAAAAUUAGUUAUCGUCUAAGACUUUUUUUUUUGUUCGCUCAAACAAUAUAUGGUUUCAUUAAAUAAGAGUUACUACAGCUCACACAUUCCAGCUACCUAGAAUGGUACAAAAGAAACACCCACUGAAUUUCCCUCAUUUAAAGAGGAUAACAACAUCAAACAGAUUCCAUAUUCCCUGUAGUUAAUAGCUUGACAGCAACCUAAUAUUACAUAAAAAAUCAUAACAGAAAUACUAUCAAUAUUGGAAACAAAAGAAAAUCAUACACUUCGUAGUUGUAUUAACCCAACAACAUAAACCUUCAUCUCCUGCCAUCUCCCACUAGCCACAGCUUCUCCUACCAUAUAUUAGCAUUGAAUCAGAUUCUACCACCAAGGAUUUCCUCCCACACUACACUUCCUUUUUCUUACCUCCCCCUACACAGUACUGACCUUUUUUAUGCCUUGGCUCUUGCCGUUGCCUCCUUAGCCAUCUCCACUAGCAGCACGUCCUUUAUUUCUUUUGCACAUGAAGCCUAUUCUUUGGCCUAUACUGACCAUUUUUCAUUUCUUCUGGGCUUAUCCUUAUAUUACUCUCCUUUCAUGGGCCUACAUUUUUCUCAUCAUUAUUUUCCCCCUUUAUCCCCAAACUCUCUUCAUCUUUCUUCUUCUCAACCGGUUUCAAUCUUUCUCCCUCUAACACUAAUUAAUUACUUGGCCUAUAUGAUUUUUUGUAACCGCUUCUUUUGGAAAAAUUGAGUACUUGAAUAAGUGACCUACUGUUAAGACGAAUUAUGAGAAAAAGAAAUUUUUUUUAGUAUUACAAUAAAUUUGAGAGUUUUUACCAUUAAUUGCAAUACAAAACUAAUAAACCAGUCCGUAUGAUUUUUCGUAACUAUUUCCUUCCAAGAAAAUGGGGACUUGAAUAAAUGAUCUACUAUUGAGACAAAUUUCAAGAAAAAGGAAUUCCUUUUAAUAAAACAAUUAGUUAUCAAAGUCCUAACAUUUAUUGCAAAGACUAAAAGCUUGGUAUAUAUGAUUUUUUGUAAUAGUUUUUUUAUGAAGAAAAUGAAGCUUAGAUGAAUGACCUACUAUUAAGACAAAUUUCAAGAAAAAGAAAUUUCUUUCAGUAUAACAAUAAGUUAUUGUUGAGAAAAGAAAUAAGUUAUUAAAGUUUUAUUGUCAAUUACUAUUAAUGACUAAUUAUAAAUCAGUCUGCAUGAUUUUUUAUUAGAUUUAUGUCAAUUAUAUAUAUAUAUAUGUAUAUAUAUAAAUAUGUGUGUGUAGAGAUGUCAAUAAUUACCUUAUAUAUAUAUAUAUAUAUGAUUUUUUUUGUAAUAGUUUUUUUCCGUAGAAAAUGAAACAUAUAUAAUUGACCUAGUAUUAAGUGUGUGUAGACAUGUCAAUUCUUUUCUACUUUUGUAAAAAUGUAUUAUGAAUCCAAUGUAUUGUGUAGAGAUGUCAUUACACAGAUAUUUGGUGCAUCCAAUGUAAGUUUUCUCUGAGUUGAGCUGUAUAUGUUUACAUUGUCUGCUAAUUAUAAUGCAAAAAGGAUACUUAAGGAAAAUUUUACAUCUGUUUUCAUCAAUGCAGGAUCCCAUAAAAUACACUUUGACAGAUGCAAAAUUUGUAAGAAACAAUUCUUCGUAUGAUGAAAAUCUUGAAAAGGUAAAUGUACAUGUUGUAAAGUUUGUCCUACUACUUUCAAAUUGAGAGCAACUAAUGUCUAAAUAAGGUAUACAUGAUUGAUUACCUAGAAGAGAAAUUAAUGAAAAGAGACAUUUUGGAUUUUAUAAACCUGGUUCCCCUUGCUUUCUUAUCAUUCCAAACCUCACAUUCUAAGGAGAAGUUGAGAAAAAUCUUCCAAUGUCACCCAGUUAGGGCUAUUCUUUCCCUAGAUACUAUCAGCUUUCUCUAAACCAGAAGGAAGGCUUGCUCUCAGCCAUGGAAAAUACUUCCUCAGAAAAUGUUACCUUUUCAUUGUUGACAGGGGCUUGCCUGAUUUUUGCUACCUCUAGACUUGUUUCUUUUCAUUCAACCCUUCUCUUCAUGCUUCUCGUUUUAUUCCUUUUUGUUGUCAAAGCAAAGGGCAAAGCCAGCAAGAGAAAGAGCAACCAAGCACCUUUUCCUCCAGGCCCAACUCCCUGGCCAAUCAUUGGAAACCCUCCAGAGAUAUGGAGAAAGAGACCAGCCUUUCGGUGGAUUCAUGGCCUUAUGAAAGAACACCACACGGAUAUUCUUUGUGCCCCCCUUGCAAACUCUCAUGUCGUCGCUGUCACUUCGCCUGUCAUUGCUCCAGAGUUCUUGAAGAAAAAUGAUUCAGUUUUUGCAUCAAGGCCUGUUACGAUGGCAACUGAGUACUCCAGCCGAAGGUUCUUGACAAUAGCUGUUGUUCCGUGGGGAGAUCAAUGGAAGAAAAUGAGAAAGGUUGUGACCCUGGUUGAGAUCAUUUGAUUUGGAGGGCCAUGAGAAGACUGUCUGUAAGGCUAUGAAAAUUGUAAGUGAGUACCAGGAUCCCUUGAUUGACGAGAGGGUCCAAGAGUGGAGAGAAGGCAAGAGGACGGAGCCUGCAGACCUCCUUGAUGCCUUCAUUUUAGCCAAGGAUUCGAAUGGGAAGCCAUCUCUUUCAAUCGAAGAGAUUAAAGCCCAAUGUGCAGUGAGAUAAUCUAACCGUAGAUUCCUUUUCUGCCAUGUGUUUUUAGUCUAGUCAUAACAAAAAUUAAUUUGAUUAGUUCUAGUAAUAGUAACAAUAGUUAUCAUCAAAUUUGUGUUUGAUAUGUCUAUGAAUAUUUUGUUUAUGUAGGAGUUAAUGCUUGCAACCGUAGACAAUCCUUCAAAUGCUGUGGAAUGGGCAAUGGCAGAAAUGAUCAACCAACUUGAAACUCUCCUGAAAGCAGUCGAGGAGAUAGAUUCUUUGGUCGGAAAAGAGAGGCUGGUUCUAGAAGCUGACAUUUCCAAACUCAACUAUGUCAAAGCUUGUGCAAGAGAAGGCUUUCGUCUUCACCCAAUUGCACCCUUUAACCUACCCCAUGUCUCAACCGCCGACGCCACUGUUGCUGGCUACUUCAUCCCCAAAGGUAGUCACGUCUUGCUCAGUCUUUACGGACUAGGCCAGAACCCCAGGGUUUGGGAUGACCCAUUGAAGUUCAACCCUGAGCGCCAUUUGAAGGUUGGUUCCAUGCGCGUUGAUCUGACAGAGACAGACCUGAGGUUCAUUUCUUUCAGCACAGGGAGACGCGGGUGCAUGGGCGUGGCUCUUGGGACUGCAAUUACCAUGAUGCUAUUGGCAAGGCUGCUUCAAGGUUUCACUUGGAGGGUUCCACCGAAUGAGGCAAACAUCGAUCUCUCUGAUAUUAUUUAGGUAGUACGAUCACACAUCUUACAAAUACAUGAUACAUCAAUUCUCAUAACCCAGCACAGUCACAAUGGAAAAGAGCAACGUAAGACUCUCCUUCCCUUAACAUCUGGAACUGUUCCAACUUGUUGCGGCCCAAUUCCAACUCUUUUAAACAUGUCAUUCCAAAACAACAAAACGAAAGCUCACCAUAUAUAUCAAGACCCAUGACGCCAAACCUACUGCCAUUUAUCAUAUCCAUACCUGAAAAGGGGUAAUUGAUCUACUUAUUAAAAAUCAUCAACUAUCGAUUUUAAUUAUAAUUUUUUAAUUUUUUAUUGAUUCACGGUAAAAAAAAUGAUAAAUGAGUCAAAGUAUUAAAAUAAGGUGGCAAAAAUUCAUAAAUACUGUUCCUAUUCCCUCAAAAAAUAAAUACUUUCUGAAAAUUCAAAUCAAUUGAAUAUUUGUACUGGGGAAAAAGUUCAAUCGCUAUCCAAAUAACUUUAAUUAACUGGUAUGGGAAAUUCAAGAUAGGUGACAUAUGAGUAGGAUCAAGGACAUUUUUAGGCAGAAAUUCGAAUACUCUAUAUUUUUAGUAAAUUUGGAAGCACUAAGUUUGCCCCUUUUUUUUGACAAUGCAUCCAGUUUAAUUGAAAAGGAGGCAGAUCAUCUAAAUUAUUGAUGCUUCCUUGGUCUCUAAUUUUAUUUUUACCUUUUUUGUAUCAUCAUGUACUUCUUCCAUCUCAAAUUGAAUGUUUGCUUUUUUUUUCUUUUUUUGGAUAAAUGAUCUAUUUAGUCACUUAAUUUCAACAUAAUUUGUUAAGAUAGUGGGAAAAUGUAUAUGGAGACUAUAUAUACAUGCAUAUGUACAUAUAUAUAAUCGUUUUGACAUCUUUGGAUAGUUAUUUUAGAGAAAUUGUUUAAUAAGAGUAUUAUAAGUUGUUAAAAAUCGUAACUCAAAAUCUUGAAAAAAUUGGAUUGAAUUUUUUAAUUGAUUAGAAGAAAAUAUUUGGUUGACAAAGAAACUAGGUUUAUCUUUUCAAGAUGAGAAGGGUGAUGUAAUUAGGAGAUUGAUUGAGCUAGAGGAGAUCUAGUUGGUUUCUAGGGGAAGGAGGCACUAAGGACCGGGGGAGUGGGUGCUUCUGUUAAGAAGUAGGCUUUUAAGUGGAGGUAGGAUGUUAUGUUAUUGGCUGCAAGCUUUAUUGUUCAUUUCUUGGCCCUAGCCUAUUACUCACAAAUUGACUGCAGUUUUUAUGCUUACUUAUUUAAAGGAUUGAAUUAAUCUCCCUCACGUCAAGUUGAAGUUAACCUCCUUGAUGUAAAGUUGAGAGUUCCCAGUAAAGUUAUCUUUGUUGCAAUGUCUUCUAACACUUUUUCCAAGGAAGAUUUGUUGAGAAAAGCUUUGGCUCUAGCUCUACAAUCAUUGAGGCAUUCAAGUUUGAAUCAAAUACUACAAGCGUCAUCGAAAUCCUGUAAUAUCAGUUGCAAUUUCUUUGGUGAAGUAUCCAUUAACGGAGCAUGGAAAAUCAUUAAAGCUCUACCCAACACCUCCAUCAUUAAACAAUUGACAUCCAUGUUCUUCAAAAAAGAGGAACUCCAAAAUUCCCCCUCUAUACUAAAAAUAUGCUUUAAGUGUUUCACGUACUAUGAUGAAAUUUAAAAACCAUGGAAGUCGACUUUCCUACCACUUUGUUCAAUACAUGCUACUUGAGUACUAGAAACACUAUUAGCAUCUUUGUGUCUUGGCAUUGAGGAGGAAGAAGCACAAGAAUUAAUCAGAGUAACCCUCGCAUUAGCAGUAACGACUCCAACAUCAUGACCAACCUUAAUAUUCGAAGUGCUCCGACAUUAUCGAUGACAACAUCAAUAGCUCCUGCAUUAACUCCAACAUCAAGAACAACCUCAACAGCAAGAAUAACCUCGGUAUCAGGAAUAACUUCAUCUUGAGUAGCCUGUGGUGCAAGAGUAAUCUCAGUUUUUUAAAAAAAUGAAACAACAUCAAUUGUUUUAAUAUUGUUCCUACCUAGUUUAUAUUGGAACUUUGAAUGUGAGAAGGAAUAGAGCAUCCAAAUCAAUGGAUUCAUCAAUACAUUUGGUAUUCUAAAAGAAGUGGCAACACCCUCAACUUUAGCUUCAACAACAUCAAUAGACUUGUCAUCUGUUUCAUCAUUAUGUUCAGAGUCACAUGAUUCUUUCUUAGUCUCAACUUCAAAAGUCUCUUUCUUUUCAACUGAGUUAAGUUCUACUUUCGAAGUUGUUUCUCUCUACAAAACAAAAAAAUAUAAUGAGGAAAUGAAUUUAAAAGAAUAGUAGAAGAAGAAGUAAAGGAUGAACUUAUUUUUCAAUGCAUGUGAAGAGCAUUACCUUCUUCAUUUACAUUUCUUGUCUUUUUGAAAGAAAUCAAGCGCAAGGAUACAUUGGUGUUACUUACAGGAAGAGUGUAAAGACAAGCUCUAAGAUUAGCUAAAGGCACAAUAAAAAAUCUUCAUUCUUCAAGACAUUCCCUUCAAUAAGCAAACCACUUAGAAUUGUGGAUGCCAACUCUAUCAAAGCUGGGACAGUAGAACUCUUAGGUUUAUCUAAAUGGAGUUGAAGUCCUGCUAUGAGAAAUGAAGAAACACAAGAAGAAAAACUGAUAAAUGAAGAAAAGUUAGGCAGAGUUGGUUAAUCAAACCAAAAUUGGCGUGCCACUCUAUAAGGAGAAUAUACCUCGACAGAAAGAAAAUUUUUUUCUCCACCCGAAUUGUAAUUCUUAAUCAUAGAAGGCAAUUGGGAAUUGUGAACCCAUAUACAAAAGUUAAUACCUUGUGAACUCAUUCUUCUAGACUAUAGAGGCUAGCAAUUAUAAUAAAUUCCAAGAUCACUAAAUCCAUUUAUAGGCUACACAUAAGUUUUGAGUUUGAAUUCUUUUAUAACAUCCAUCAUUUCAAGAACAUUACCUCUUGGGAGUCGAUCAUGCCACACCCAAGCUCUAUAGUUGUUCCUGGAUAAAGGGUUAUUCACAGAAAAAGAUGCAAAAGUAUACUCAUUAGGCAUAAGAGCGCAAGUACCAAACCUUUCCCAUAGGCAUAUUUGAAUAAUGGAAGCAUCCGUAGAAGUCAAAACUUUGUAACGCUCAGUUGACUCGAUAGUUUUGAGUUAGCACAACGUUAGCCUCUUGUAUAGAAAUCUUAAAUAUAGUAGAGUAAUAGGAAAACGUAUUCCUUUAACAAUUUUUAUUGCUAAAGGAACAACUGUUGAAGAGCUACCAUCAUUUGGACACCUUGGGAGUAUAUGUCAUGCAAACCAAAAGAUUAUUAAGGCCACUAGCAUGUGUUCAUGGUCUAGGUACCCAAGAGGGCCAAUCUCAAUUUCCCUAGCAUUGAACUUCUUAUAAAAUACCCCUAUCCAAUUGGAGAAUCGUGUAACCUUUGCAGUUUUACUUAAACUCUUGAGUAGAUUAAAGAAAAAGUCUCAAAUACAUACCUUUUUUUCAGAAAGCUUGAUAGAGUAAAAAUCAUGCCUCCCCAUGCAAGGAAGUUUCAAAAGAAUACACAUAUCUUCUAGAGUGAAAGUAAAUUCCCCCCAUGCUGUAAUCAUAGUAUGAGAAAAAGUGCUUCACCUUGCUAGAAUAACAUGCCAUACAUCCAUCAUUUUCUCUCUACGAAUAUUGAGUUUUGAAGUAACACGUACAAUAUCAAGUAUUCCAGCAGAUGAGAGAAGUUUAACAUAAGUAAGAUUCUUCAACACCUUGUUUACCCACUCAUCCUAGCCAUGAACAAAUUGAGAAUUGAAGCCUAGCGUAGUAGCAAAAAGUGGAAACUCACCACGCUCAAACCUGAACUUUAAAAUAGAUAAUCCUGGGAUGCCACUUCUUUUAUAAGGAGGUGCUUUUGAGUAUAGAUGAUUCCAAUCAUAUCCAACAGUCUCAGAGGGAUGUUCAUCAACUUGUCUGGCACCUAAAAAUGAUCUUCAUCUCUUUCUCUAAUAAUUUCAUCUUUCCAGUUUUUAGGGACAGGAAGAACUUUACCACUCUUUCCUACUCUAAUUUUUUUAAGAAGAAUUACUUUGGAAUCAUUAUUCUUCUUUUUAUGUGCAAUGGUCUUCUUCCUUAUUACAAUCCUUUUAGGCUCAUCAUAAUGGAUCUUUGAAAGGAAACGCGUCCUAAGCAUAAAGGAAAAUGGAAAAAAAAACUUACAAACAUGAUCAUGGAAAAAGAGAUAAGUAUACAUACGUAAUAAUUUUUGUAUUUACCUAUUUAUUAAGCAUAAAAAAACAAAACAACAAAGUAAAAUAACAAAACUUAUCAAAAUUAUAGAUUUUAAUAUUAUUAUUUUUAAAAAUAUAUAUAAAAUAAAAAAAAAUUAUAUAUAUGCAAUAUAAAAAUAUAUAUAAUAAAUAAGUAAAACUUAAAAAAAAUCUACAACUUCAAACAAAAAAAAUAAAUAAUAAUAAAAUAAUUACAACAUUAUAAAAAGUGCCGCACAUGCCACAACCUUCAACACAAAAGCCAAGUAAAAAAAAAAAAAAAAAGGAAAGCUAUGCCGUGUCUUAAGCCUACAACAAAAGCACUGUUUCCCGAAGUCCUCUUUUACACUUUUGCUUGUACCGUGAGAAAUUAAAAUGCUGAAGACAAAAUAGCUUUCUAAAAAGACAAAAUAAGGUUAAAAUAUCAAAAGCAUAAAUGAUUAAUUUUUAUAUUUUCAAGAAAAUUUUAAUUUUUUCCAAUAGAAAAUUUCGUAAAAAAAAAACUUAAUUUUUGAUAGUGAACUGAUUAAUUGAUCCCAAAAGCAUUUCAUAUCUCCAUUUUUAUUGAAAUCAUAGAUGAAAGAGGCAGAGAAGAGGGUACUCCCCAUGAGACCUGGAGAUGUGACCAUGGAUAUUAGCUUGAGCUGUAAUGGAAUUGACUGUUACAACCAAGCUAUCUAUCCAAAGUACCCAAAUUCUAGCAAGGUGAGAGGAAUUAGGAAUUAGCAAGCUAUCUUUCCCUCUGACUAUUCCUGGACAUAGAUGAAUUUUUUUUUUUAAUUAAGUCAUUCAUUAUAAUUAAUUAGUAAGUACAAAAGAAGGCAUGUCAGCCAUAGGAACAGCAACUGCAGGUAACAGAUGAUGAGAGGUACUCACUGUUACAAAAGAUCAAAGGCAAAAGAAAAACCUGAGUAGAGCCCUGCCUAUGAAAUGAACUAAAAAACAGAACAGUAAAGAGCAGCCAAACGUUGGUGAGAAAAACAGGAUGUGGUGAUCCAAAUUUCAGAGAGUAAGAACAAUAAAAGAGGUUAGAAUCAAAGAGACCAUUUAAUUCACCACCAGGCAGAAAAUUAAAGUGUGAUUACAGACAAAUUAAAUGUAAACUUACAUGUGGAUAACAUUGAAAGAUAUUAUCCAUGAAAUCAAAACUCAUAUGUGGCUAACAUUGAAAGAUAUUAUCCAUGAAAUGAAAACUUAAUUAUAUGUGGCUAACAUUGAAAGAUAUUAUUCAUGAAAUGAAAGCAAAAUGAGCCUAACUUUGGGACCAAAAGAUAUUAUCACAAAAUAGCCAGACAAAACAUUGAAAAGAUGUUAAAAGCAUUCUAAACAUGGGCAGCCUAGCUUUAUGUGUGAUACGUCUGAAACAUGCAUGGGAGCCAGAAUUGACUGGGACAUGUGUAACAGUUCCAUUGCACCACGUACGUACAUGUUGGUUUUUUUUAAGAUAAAUUAUUUAUAACGCCACUUAAUUUUUUGAGAGUUUUCAUUUUGAUCACGUAAUUUUAAAACAUAAAAUUCUAGUCACCGACGUUUGAUUAUUAUUUUAGACUCUCAACCGUUAGAAAUUAUUCAACAUUUCUACGGUUUGGUCUAGAAAUAAUUUGUUAAAAAAAAAAGAUGUUUAGUAAUGUACUCCAAUGAUUUCGCACAUGAAAAACAUAAGUUAAUUUAGUCAUGUACUUCAAAUUUUGGUUUAAUGAUAAGCGAAUAAAUUUUUUAUUCAAAAAAAUUAAAUAUAAAUUCCAUUUUCCAAAUAAAUAAGUAAGAAUAUUUUGACAUUAGUGUCUAGCCUAGUUACAUUAAUACAUUAAUUAUUAAUAAAUUUUGGUAUACGAUAAUUUGGAUAAACAGAAAGUUUAGCUAGUGAGCUUAAUAAAAUUCAAUGUCAAUUACUUUUUGAUUUUAACUUAAAUUUAGGCCAAAUUAGUUCCUCUUAAAAAAAUAUUGUACUUAAUUUUAUUAAUUUAUUCUCCUAGGAUUUACUAAAAUAGCUUGAGAUUGCAAAUUCUUUAGUUAAAUUUGAUGCUGAUAGAUAGGAGAUAUGUCAUGCCUGGUGAAAACUUUUGUAUGAGAUUUGACUUUUUUAUUUUUUAUGGCUGAUUACUCUCAUUUUAGUUUAUAAUGUUUUCUAAAAUAGCUUGGUAAAUUUAUUUUAAAAAUAACCUUUAAUAUAAAGUUAAUUAUUUUUAUCGAACUUUUACUAUGAUUUGACAAAAAUACUCUUAAAAUCAUUUUAAACAAAUUAAAUGUUCUCAAUUGUUCUUUCCUACCAUCCAUUUGUUGUGCUUCCCAUUUUUUUCUCUCGUCAUCCAACUUCAUCUGAUUUUACCAUCAUCACCAUCUCUCUUUGUCUAUCUCUCGCCGUCUCGUCAUACUGCCAUCGAUUUACAGACCAAUAAGCAUGACAUGGAGGGUUACAAUAUGUUCUUAUGUUUAUUGGUUUACAUUCACAAAACCUUCUCUUUGUUUGCCUCUCACCAUUUCAUCAUAUUAUUGUCGAAGAGAAUAGCAUGGUGAGUAAUAAUAUAUUAUAAGGUUUAUUGAUGUUGAGUUUUUUUGUGAUUCAAGUCUAGUAGAGCAUACCUUGGUGUAUAACAUCAAUAGAAAGAAGGAAGUUUUGGCGUGUAAUAUCUGGUGUUGAAGCUUUGGCCUUGGCAGGUAACAUUUGCCACUAAAGCUUUGGUAUGUAGCCUCUUCUGUUGAAAUGUGUAACAUUUGCUUAGGCUUGCAGUGUCAUUUUGUUUUUCUUUUUUGUUGUUUUUAGCUAUUGUAGAGCAUAGUAAACUAAGUUUUUGAUUGCAAAUAUUUAUACAUAUAUAUAUAUAUGUAUAUAUAGAUAUGUAUAUAUAUCUAAAAAAAUCUAAAUGAAGGUGACAAAAAGUUUUUUACUUUAAAAUUGUUAAUCCUUUAGUCCGUUCAUCUUCUUCUUUUUUAAAAAAUUUUUAAAAUUGUUUUUUACCAAAAUUUUCUUGAAAAUCAACAAUUUGUUUACAUUCACAAAACUCAAAAAUUGAUGAGUUUAAGUUAUAAGUGAAAUGAAAUAUAUAAAUUAGAAUACUGUCUAGAGUUGUUACACACCAUGUAUGCAUGUAACAACUCUAAUGCACUUAAUGUGUAAUAAAUCUAUUGAAUAUGACAUGAUGUGUAACAACAUGUUUUUCUACGUACCUGCAUGUAACAACAUUUUUUUUAAAAUAGUGUCUAGCAAAAUUUUUUUGAACAUGACGUGUAACAAUAAUAUUUUUUAAACAUGACAUGUAACUUGCUCCUUCAUAUUUCGUUAUAACAUAAACUCUUGGAGUUAAACACCUCAAACAUAACAUGUAAAAAAUUUUUAUCAACAUAACGUGUAACAAUAUUUUUUUGAACAUGACGUGUAAUAAAAACAUUUUUUUAAAGAUGACAUGUUUGGUCUCUUUGUAUUUUAUGAGAAUAUAAACUUUUAGAGUUAAACAUAUUUACCAAAUAUAUUAAAAAGUUAUUCAACAUCAAUGUUACUGCUGGGAUGAAAUGGAUUUGAACAAACAGAUAUUAUUCAACAUUACCAAAUUUAGAUAUUAGUUUUAGGGUUAUUUUAUUUGUUACAUUUUCUCUAAUCAUAACAAAAGACAUGGUAUGCAAUAACUUUUUUUUUUCAAUAUGACAUGUAACAAAAUUUUUUUCAACACAUGCUUGAAAAUGAGAAGGUUUUCAUUAAGAGCAAUUUUAUCCACAAAUCUUUUCUCUUGACUAAAAACAAUUAAAAUUAAAAGAAAAUAAUUUUCGAAAACACUUUAUCCUUAAGGGUUAAAAAAAAUCAUCCUUUUAUAUUAUAGUAAAUGAAAGAACUAUAUGUAAUUAAAAAUUAUAAUAAAAUUAGGUAAAAAGGAAGUUCGAACUUUAAAUCUUAAGUUCAAAGUAUAGUUUAUAUUAUAUUGCUUUUCAGUUAGUUUCAAAAGCAAAUUAAGAAAACAAAUACCAAAAAUAAGAAACAAAUAGAAAAAUGAUGAAUGACCAAAAUUCUCACACCUUUGUCUCUAUAAAUAGCUAUGCCUAUCAUCCUUGUGUGCAGACAAAAAAACAGAUAGACAAUAUACUAGUGUUUGAUUAUUAGCAAAUGGAUAAUUCCUCAACCAUUUCCUUUCAAACUCAGCUGCCAUGGGGCUCCCAUGAUUUUGCCAUCUCCACACUUGUUUCAUUUCAUUCAACACUUGUCCUAGUGCUUCUCUUUGCACCCCUUGUCCUUGUCAAAUUGAAAUGCACUACUAGAAAGAAUUACAGCAACCGAGCACCUCUCCCUCCAGGGCCAACUCCCUGGCCCGUCAUUGGAAACCUUCCUGAAAUAUGGAAAAACAAACCUGCCUUCAGGUGGAUUCAUGGCCUCAUGAAACAACUCGAUACUGACAUUGCUUGUAUCCGCCUGGCAAACAUUCAUGUCAUUCCUGUCACUUCACCUGAAAUCGCUCGAGAAUUCUUGAAAAAAUAUGAUGCUGUUUUCGCAUCGAGGCCACUUACAAUGGCAACUGAGUUGGCUUCUCGCGGUUUCUUGUCAACCAUCUUGGUGCCAUGGGGAGAUCAGUGGAAGAAAAUGAGAAGGGUGGUUACUUCUAACAUAAUGAGACCAGAAACACUAAGCUGGUUACUCCAUAAGAGAACCCAAGAAGCUGAUAAUCUUGUUAGGUUCAUUUACAACCAAUGCGUCAACCCUGAAAAUGACAGUUCCAAUGGCUCUGUCAUAGACCUAAGACUUGCAGUUAGGCAAUACACUGGCAAUGUCAUCAGGAGGAUGAUGUUCAACAAAAGAUACUUUGGCAAAGGCAAAGAAGAUGGAGGGCCUGGGCAUGAAGAAGAAGAACACGUCGAAUCAAUCUUUACAGUGCUCAUUCACCUUUACUCUUUCGCCCUAUCAGAUUAUGCACCCUGGCUGAGACCAUUAGAUUUGGAGGGUCAUGAAAAGAUUGUGAGUGAGGCUAUGAGAAUUGUCAAUGGCUACCAUGACCCCAUCAUCGAUGAGAGAGUACAACAGUGGAGAGAAGGGAAGAAGAAGGAGCCUGAAGACUUGCUUGAUGCCUUCAUUUUAGCAAAGGAUUCAGAUGGGAAGCCAGCACUUUCAGUUGAAGAGAUCAAAGCCCAAUGCUUUGUGAGAUUCUUACUUGUCCAAACACGAUAUAAUAUAUUUUUAGGUUAACUAAAGGUUGAUGAUCCUUAUUUCGUAUGCAGGACUUAAUGCUUGCAACAGUGGACAAUCCUGCCAAUGCAGCAGAAUGGGCAAUGGCAGAGAUGAUCAACCAACCCGAAACUCUCCAGAAAGCAAUCGAGGAAAUAGAUGGUGUGGUAGGAAAGGACAGGUUGGUUCAGGAGACUGAUAUUCCGAAACUCAACUUUGUAAAAGCUUGUGCAAGGGAAGCCUUCCGGCUUCACCCCAUGGCACCCUUUAACCCACCCCAUGUCUCGAACGCCGACGCCAUAGUUGCUGGCUACUUCAUCCCCAAAGGUAGUCACGUCCUGCUCAGCCGGGUAGGCCUAGGCCGGAACCCCCAGGUUUGGGACGAGCCAUUGAAGUUCAAACCUGAGCGCCAUUUGAAGGAUGGCUCGAUGGAAGUUAACCUGACAGAGACGGAACUGAGGUUCAUUUCUUUUAGUACAGGAAGGCGCGGGUGCAUAGGCGUUGCUCUUGGAUCUGAAAUGACUAUAAUGCUAUUCGCCAGGCUGAUCCAAGGUUUUGCAUGGAAGGUGCCGCCUGAUGAGGCAAAAAUUGACCUUUCAGAAUCGGAAGAUAAUCUGUUCCUAGCAAAACCAUUGCAUGCACUUGCUAAACCUCGCUUGCCUGCUGCAGUAUAUGAUCAGCUCAAUUACAAGUGAAAAGAUUUAAUGCAAGACUACUACUAAAAUAAACUGUAACUGAUUAAGUUACUUGUAUGUUAAUUUCCAUUAAUCCAGCCGUACAAGUUACAUUUCCUCGAUUUAUCCAUGUAGUGGGAAUUUUUUUUUUUUGUGUUAGACCAAGUCGAAAUGAAGGCACACAUAACUCGUAUUCGAAGUAGAAUACAAAUAUUUUAUUUUCACUUGGUGUCUCUUUUCAUCAAUUUGCAUCGUAUAUCCGGCAAACUUUUCUAUAUUAACAUCACUCUUACCACUAUAUUAUUUGUGUUCUGUUUGAGCACACUAUAGAAUUAAUGAGGGUAUCAAAAGGAAAGAGAGGAUUUUUAUUCAAUUCCAAGAGAUAAUCACAAGCCCAUCGAGAAAUAAUGCUAAGCAAAUAAAGUGGAAAUUAAACAUAAUUCACAAUCAUUUCCAGAUAAUCUAAUCCACAAUUAAACAUAAUGCUAAACACACUCUUGAUGUGGGUUUUUUAAGUUAUUUUACACUGCUGAAUUUAUGGCAACACUAUACAUUUUUUUUUGUGUUGACCAAUUGGUAAUUAAAGAACACAUAACUAAUAUUCCAUGUAGAAUAAAUAUCAUUUACCUCCACUUAAUUAAUGUCUUGUUUUAAAAUUAUAGUUCAUGUAUUCUGUAAAUUUCUAUAUUAACGUCACUCUUGUUGUUAUACUAUUUGCUUGCUAUAAGCAAGCUAUCGAAUUGAGACUCCAGGUGAACGUAGAGAAUUUGUAAAUCCUCAUGGACUAUAUAACUCUAAAACAUACAUGGCGGUCCCAAGUGCAUGUCUCUAUCACUUUCAAACUUCUAAAUCAAUAUUUUAAAUGUGUCAUAUUUUAGUUCCAUAUAUAGUAAUAUUUAGUCAAAGAACUUCGUCAAAGAAAUCAAAAGAUUAGAUCAACAUCAAAAACAAAAUUGAUAAUGAUUUUUGAUAUUCUGUCUCUCUUAUCUUUUACGUUUCAAUACAUUAAGUAAUUUUUUUUAAAUAGUACCCUGAGAGUUGAAAAUUGAUCCAGCACAUUUAUAUACUGGUGAUGGGUACUAGUGACAAAAACAGGGACGAAGGAAAGAAAGAAAGGAUCUCUAAUUCUCGACCACCCAUUUGGGUUUUUGGUAUAUAUCUUAACUGUAACACUGUGUCGUUUUCAUAGCUAGAUACUUAGCACCAGGGCACUUCCAAGGUAGAGAAUACACAACGUGGGUCUCGUGUGGGCGGCCAUAUGGCUUCAGCAGGACCAUGGAACUUGGAAGGGUCAAAUAUCGGGAUGAUAACAACCUUUUUGUGUCUUUGAAUCCUCAAUUCCCCAUGACCUAAAAUAAUAAAACAUGCAUGGUUUGUUUAUCUACAUUGUUUACCAAACAAUAAUGAUACUUUACAAUCGGGUAUCGUGUAUUAUUAUUUUUUUUUAACUCAACUAAAAAAGAGAAUAUAUCAAAAGACAUUACGAGUACAUGAUGGAUAAUCAAUUUCGUUGAUUAUCAAAGACACUGAUAUAAGAAACAUUACCAAUAGUUUGAGAAAGAUAAUCAACUUCGUUGAAAAUCUGCCAUGGUUUCCAUGGUCUUUGACGAACAUCAGAAACCCAAGAAAGAGCUACUUUAGAAUCAGAUUCAAAGAGAAGCUGAGCUCCAAUAGAUUGAGAAGCAGAAAAAAGGCGAAGAGCAUGAAGGAUGGCCAUGAGCUCAGCAUAAUUUGAAUCAUGAUAUCCUAGGGGACCAUAAAAAAUGCCCAACAAUGAACCUUCAGAGUUUCUUAACACACCUCCACAUCCAGAGGGACUAGGCUUACCUCAAGCAGAUCUGUUAAUAUUGAAUUUAAAACUUUCUUCCAACAGAGGCUACCAUGAAGAGAUGGAGCCAGAGCUGAAAGAAGGAUGCAAAAAGUGAAUAACAGACGAAUUAGUCUGAUAACUCUAUGAUGUAGAGUUACUUGAGCUUAAUUUUAAUAGUAAUUUAGCUUAAUUCUUGAGGUAAUGCAUAGAAAUUAAUAAGUUUUAUUUAAAUUAUUUUAAACUAAUUAAUUUAGGCGAGUCAAUCUUAUCUUAGUUAAUUUUAUGCUUAAUUUAGUGUUAAUAUGAUUAAGAUAGAUUGUUAUUGAUUUACUCGUACUUUUGUAAGUUUUUAAUGAAGCAAGAAUUUUAAUGGAAGAAUGAGAGCAAUUUUGAGGUGCAAACUUUCACUACACAUAUCUCGGUAAUUCACCCAUAUCUCUUUCUACAGAACUCCAAAUGAGAUGAUUCUUGGAGCAUUGGAAAGAUAAGAGAAAAAGCUAGAACUUUCCCAUAUACCACUUAACCCAUAUGUGUUUGUCUGGUUUAUUUUCCACAAAAAUAACUGAAGAUAAUUUAGGAAGAAUUUCAUUAUAAGAAUCUAAUUCCCAAAUGUGAAGGGUUCGCCUAAAGGAAAUAUACCAAGAGCCAUCAAUCCAUGCAUCAGAAACUCUAGCUUCUUUGUUCAAAGCUAGGGAAAAUAGGCAAGGGAACCUGGAACAAACAGUGUCACUAUCAAACAUCCACUUAUCCAACCAUAAAUAAAGAGUAGCCCUAUUGCCAAUACACCAUUGACAAGCCGAGAAGCCAACUAAAUCUACCACCUUGGUAUUAGUGGGGAGUUGUGUAAUACAUUUCCAAACAAAAGGCAUCUUAUUAGAGUGAGAAGUGGUUGGAAUCCAAUGAACUCUGCCAGCCCCAUAUUUUUCCACAAUCAAACAAUGUCAAAGAGCAUUUUCCUCAAUGCCAUAUCUCCACCACCAUUUGCCAAAAUGGGCAAUAUUCUUAUGGCAUAGAUUAGAGAUACCAAUACCCUCAAAGUGUUUAAGCUUACAUACCGUGCUCCAUUUCACUUUUGAAAGUUUACGAGUAUUCGAUGAGUGACCCCAAAGAAAUGAAUGCCUAAGCUAAUCAAUUUUGGUAAUAACACUUUUUGGAGCCUUAAAAAUGGACAUAUAAUAAAAUGGAAGGGAAUUAAGGAUAGAGUUGAUGAAAGUAAUCUGUCCACCACAUGAGAUAUUUUCGCUACCAUAAAGCUAAUCCUUGUCUGACUUUGUUAAUCACAAGAUCCCAAGAACUGACAUUUCUUGGAUUUGCGCCCAUCGGGAAACCCAGGUAAGUGAAUGGAAGGGAGCCCACCAUGUAGUGAAGUAUAAAGGCUAUGUCAUUGCAAAAAGAGGUUGAAUAACAUAUCGGAUAAGCACAUUACUUGCCAAAGUUAAUCCGUAACACAAAAGUAAUCUCAAAACAACAAAGGAUUUUUUUGAGAACAAUAGAAAAGAGAGGUUUCAGCUUGAGAAAAAGAAUAAUGUCGUCCACAAAUUGUAAGUGAGAAAUGGAAAGACCAUUUGCAAAUAAAGAGAUGCCUUGAAAAAAAUCAAGAUCCUCUACCUUAGAUAGAAGAAGAUGGAGAACUUCAACAGCCAUGAUGAACAGAAAAAAAGAUAGUGGGUUGCCUUGAUGAAGGCCUCCUUUCGUAGGAAAUUCUGUGGUAGCUAAACCAUUGAUAAGAACUGAGACACGAACCGUAAAGAUGCAUUCAAAUAUCCAUUUACUCCAUAAGAGUUGAAUCCCAUGGCCUAUAUAACAAGUAAGAGAAAAUCCCAGUUAACACAGUUGAACGCCUUUUCAAAAUCUAACUUUAUGACAAUACCAUCACAAUUGUGCAUAUCUUUCUUCAUACUAUGAAUAAUCUCAUUGCAAGCAUGAUACUAUUAGUGAUUUGUCUACCAAUGAAAAAUGCUCAUUGAGUAUCACUAAUCACUGAGUGAAUGACUUCUUAAGCUAGUUAGCAAGUUGCUAGGCUAAAAUCUUAUACAAAGAAUUGAUAAGACUAAUGGGCCUAUAUUCCUUCAAAGACGUAAGAUUGGCAACUUUGGGAAUAAAAGCGAUGAAGGAUGAGUUAAGGACUUUUUCAAUUCUGCCCAUAAAUUCAACAACAAAGUCAAAUAAGUCUUGUCGAAUUAAAUGCCAGAAGUGUUUAAGGAAAUUGAGGUUAAAACCAUCUAGACUAGGUGCUUUUGAACCUUCACAAUCCUACACCUUUGCUUUCAAUUUCUACAUAGAGAUCAGCAUUUCAAGAAAAACAGAAUCCUCUCUAGAUCCAUUUCAAGAAAAAGGGAGGCAGAUCAUCUAAAUUAUUGAUGCUUCCUUGGUCUCUAAUUUUAUUUUUACCUUUUUUUGUAUCAUCAUUUACUUCUUCCGUCUCAAAUUGACUUAAUUUCAACCUAAUUUGUUAAAUAGUGGGAUAAUGUAUAUUGACAUUAUAUAGACAUGCAAAUGUACAUACAUAUAUAUAAUCGUUUUGACAUUUUUGGAUAAUUAUUUUAGAGAAAUUGUUUAAUAAGAGUAUUAUAAGUUGUUAAAAAUCGUAACUCAAAAUCUUGAAAAAAUUGGAUUGAAUUUUUUAAUUGAUUAGAAGAAAAUAUUUGGUUGACAAAGAAACCAGGUUUAUCUUUUGAAGAUGAGAAGGGUGAUGUAAUUAGGAGAUUGAUUGAGCUAGAGGAGAUCCAGCUGGUUUCCAGGUGAAGGAGGCACUGAGGACCGGGGGAGUGGGUGCUUGUGUUAGGAAGUAGGCUUUUACGUGGAGGUAGGAAAGGGAGUAGGGUUAAGAUGAUGACGAAUCUGAUCAUGGGCCUUAUGAUGCUAGUGCCCAGGUGCUUGCUAGCGACAAAUGUGAUGGCGUGAGGUUUUCAGCAAGAGAGACCUCAUUGUUAGGUUAAAAUCUCAGCUUUUUUAUUACAAUAGAAUUUCUAGUCAUUUGAUAUUUGUAAGUUAAUAAAUUGUUACUACUGGUAAUAGAGAAGCAGGAUUUAAGGUUAAUGCUGGCAAUUGCUUUUUGAGCAACAGGUUUUUUUUUUUUUUAACUAUAUAUAUCGCUUCUAGUUACCCCAAGGCUAGAAGUCCUAUGUCACUAGAUAUUUUUUAAUUUCGAAGUUCAAGAUUUGAGUUAGCAUACUAGUUAGAGGGUUCAUAAUAAAAUUUGCUUUUAAAAAAAAAAAAAAAAAGACAAUAAUAUGUGGUUAUCAAGUUUACUUGAAGGAUAAGUUUAUUUGAUGGAUUAGGCAAGGCUUGUAGGAAGAAAGAGAUUUUUGGUGGGCAAGUUAGUGGGUUUAUAAAUAGAAUAUAGUCUUAACAUGAUUAAGAAUGAGAGAUAGAUGUAUAUAGAGUUGUAGGGUUUAUAAGAUUAGGUGUGUAGACAUAUCACGAGGCCAAGGGAGAGUCCUUAAAGAUGCGAAUAUUUGAUGUUUAGCUAGGGUUUCUUAAUAUCGAGUGAGGCUAAUCAUGUGUGUAAGUUUAUAAGAAUGUGUAUGAUCAGAUCGAGCGAGCAUACUUAUAUUGUUUUAGUUUGAGUUUGGAAUUGUUAAUUUAUCGAGUGAAUGUUUGAGUAUUGUUAAUAUUGAUAUACUCUCCAAUGAAAUAUUUCGUCGGAAUUUUAAUCUUUUAUAACCAAAUUAAUGCAAUACACUAUACAGAGUUAUUUAUUUUUUGAUAAAAUUUUGUUGAAAAUUUUCAACAAAAUGUAUUUUUGAUAAUACUUUUAUCAAACGAAAUCUUUCAUUGAAAAUUCAUCAAGAAAAAGUAUUUUCAACAAAAUUUUAAUUUUUUUCAACUAAAAAUUUCAUCAGAAAAAACUUAAUUUUUGACAGUGAACUGAUUAAUUGAUCCCAAAAGCAUUUCAUAUUUCCAUUUUUAUUGAAACCAUAGAUGAAAGUGGCAGAGCAGCGGGUACUCCCCAAGAGACCUAGAGAUGUGACCAUGGAUAUUAGCUUGAGCUGUAAUGGAAUUGACUGUUACAUCCAAGCUAUCUUUCCAAAGUACCCAAAUUCUACCAAGGUGAGAGGAAUUAGAAUUGUGCAAGAAAGAAUUUUCCUACCACUGGUGGAUAUUGUCCCUCUGACUGUUCGUGGACAUAGUCGAAUUGAAGUGUGAAUAUAGACAAAUUAAGUGUAAACUUAUAUGCGGCUAGCAUUGAAAGAUAUUAUCCAUGAAAUCAAAACUUAUAUGUGGCUAACAGUGAAAGAUUCUAUCCAUGAAAUGAAAACUUAUAUAUAUGUGAAUAACAUUGAACGAUAUCAUUCAUGAAAUGAAAGCGAAAUGAGCCUAAUGUUGGGACCAAAAGUAGACGUUGUUAUCACAGCAUAACCAGACAAAACAUUGAAAAGAUGUUGAAAACAUUCUAAACGUGGGCAGCCUAGCUUUAUGUGUGAUACGACUGACACAUGCAUGGGAGACAGAAUUGAUUGGAUCAUGUGUAACAGUUCCAUUGCACCACGUACGUAUAUGUUGGUUUUUUUUAAAGAUAAAUUAUGUAUAUCGUCACUUAAUUUUUUGGGUGUUUUCAUUUUGAUCACGUAAUUUCACCGACAUUUGAUUAUUAUUUUAGACACUCAAUCGUUAGAAAUUAUUCAACAUUUCUAUAGUUUGGUUUAGAAAUAAUGUGAAGAGAAUUGGAUUGUUACCCCAUGCUUUUAAGUCUAGUUGGUGUAUUAAUUUGUUUCCUCAGCCUUCUUCCUUACUUGUUUGCAAAUUUUAGUCAGGUUUUCUUGGUGCAUUAUAUAAUUCUUGGUGCUGGAUUUUGGAGUUUCUUAUCGUAUCUGUGUUCGCUAGGGUUCCAUGCAUAGUGUAUGUAAUCUCUAUAAUUACAUUUUAUUCAUAACAUUAUUAAAAGUUUAUAUAGUAUAGUCAAAUUUAUAAAAAUAUCAUAAAAAAGUAAAAAAAAUUAUUACUAAAAAUAUUUAUAAUAAUACAUUUUAAAUAUAUACAGCAGUAACUAUCAUUUUCUUUGACCUUAGGAUUUGGUUUGUCUUGUGUUACAUAUUCCUUGUGACCUUGAUUUUGAUCUUUGUCAUGUGAUUAUUGGUUUGCUUAAGAUUUAACCUGAAUUUAUUUCGAUGUUUAUUUGUAUUAUCUUUUUCUUAUAAAUAAAACUUUAUGCUAUUCAAAAAUAACUAAUAAUGUUACAUUUAAAGGACAAGACAAAGCCACAAAGGACACAAAAAAGGUGACUCUUUGUUAACAUCAGUCAAAGAUUUCUUUUGCCGACCAAAAACCCCAAGGAAAUGAGAACAUCGUAGAUGGAAAAUUUUCUAUGACUGGUGACCAAACAGUUGAAAUAAGGGAAAAAAUGUGAAGAAGAUCAUUUCUCAUAUUUUUUUUGAAAGCAAAAGGAUAGGUAUAAUUAUACACAUGUUAAUUUCAUGAGCUAUUUUUUGUGGUAAUUUCGACGAAAAUAUUGACCACAAUGAUUUCGCACAUGAAAAACAGAAGUCAAUCUAGUCAUGUACUUCAAAUUUUGGUUUAAUGAUAAGUGAAUAUAUUUUUUAUUUAAAAAUAUUAAAUAUAAAUUCCAUUUUCCAAAUAAAUAAGUAAGAAUAUUUUGACAUUUUGAAGUGGGAGUGUCUAGCCUAGUUACAUUAAUAAUUAUUAAUAAAUUUUGGUGUACGAUAAUUUGGAUAAACAGAAAGUUUUGUUAGUGAGCUUAAUAAAAUUCAGUGUCAAUUACUUCUUUGAUUUUAACUCAAAUUUAGGCCAAAUUAGUUCCUCUUAAAAAAAUAUUGUACUUAAUUAUUAUAUAUAUAUAUAUUAUAUCAAAAUAGAGCUAAAUGGUAAACCCACCUCUUGUUUGUUUUGCGACUGCUUUCCAUCAGUGGCUUUAGGUUUUGGUUUGGGAGAAAUGAGCUCAGCAUUUCUACUGUAUUUCUUCUUAACUCUUUCCAAAAUCUUCAAAGGAUCAGCAUUUUGUCCCUUCACAAUCACUCUGUCACCUUCCAUGUCCGUCUUAACUUGUUCAACGCCUGAUAAAAAAAACAAAAACAUGAAAACCUUAUCAAAAGGGCUAUCGGCUACGCCUACGCAUAUGGAUAUGCUUGACAAGACAAAACAAUCAUCAUCCCUACCUUGAAAACCUUUCAAACAAUUGAAAACCUUGGCGGCGCAUCCUUCGCAAUGCAUAUAAACUUUAAGCACAAUUUCUUUCCCUUUAUUUGAAUCCUUUGCUCCCUUCUCUUGUUUAUUUUCACAGCUUUUCUCGAGUUUCACUUCCACNAUUGAAUACUCUCAAUUUCUCUUUCAAGCCAAAACUGUCCAUCCAACUCUCUAUGCUUUCUCAACUCUCUCAUGCCCUUUAAACCAUUCAGGAGCAUGUUUUUGAUUUGCUUUUUCAAAUUCGAUGCAAAAUUGAAAUAAAGAGAAAGUGAGGAAAAAAAAAAAGAAGGUGAAAAAGAAUUGCAUGGAAGAAAACAGUUUUGGCAUUUUGAUUGCUUCCAUCCAUCUUUGAUUUCGUAAAAUCUCAUAAAAAAUUCUAGAAAAGUUUUGCCAAAUGAUUUUGUUGAUGAAUUGCAAAACUUUGUGUCACUUCUUAAUGAUUUUGUAAAAAAAUGUUCAAUAGCUUUGUUGGAAAAAUGUUUUCUACUAUAUGUGGAACCCUUAAGAGAUGACUAUAAUAUUUUUUCAACAUGACGUAUAACAAUAAUAUUUUUUUAAUAUGACUUGUAAUAAUUUUUUUUUAACAAGACAUGUAAACUUUUUUUCAACAGGACAAGUAACAAUUUUUUUUUUCAACAAGGAGUGUAACAAUUUUUUUUUCAACAAUGCGUAUAAUAAUUUUUUUUUCAACAUAAUGUGUAACAACAUUUUUCUGAAUAUAGCAUGUAAUAAAAACAUUUUACUAGGAUAUAACGUUACUAGGAUAUAAACAUUUUUGAAUAUAACGUGUAAUAAUUUGUUUGGUCUCUUUGUAUUUUACUAGGAUAUAAACUCUUGGAGUUAAACACCUUCACGAAAUAUAUUAAAAGUUAUUCAACAUCAACGUUACUACUAGGAUGAAAUGGAUUUGAACAAACAAAUAAUAUUCAAAAUCGCCAAAUUUGGAUAAUUAGUUUUAGGGCUAUUUUAUUUGUUACAUUUUCUCUAAUCAUAAAAAAAGACAUGGUAUGCAAUAACUUUUUUUUCAAUAUGAUGUGUAAUAAAAUUUUUUUCAACACAUGUGCUUGAAAACGAGAAGGUUUUCGCUAAAAGCAAUUUUAUUCAAAAAUCUUUUCUCUUGGCUAAAAACAAUUAAAACUAAAAGAAGAUAAUUUUCGAAAACACUUUAUCUUUAAGGGUUAAAAAAAAUCAUCCCUUUAUAUUAUAGUAAAUGAAAGAACUAUAUUUAAUUAAAAAUUAUAAUAAAAUUAGGUAAAAAGAAAGUUCGAACUUUAAAUCUUAAGUUCAAAACAUAGUUUAUACUAUAUUGCUUUUCAGUCAGUUUCAAAAGCAAAUUAAGAAAACAAAUACCAAAAUUAAGAAACAAACAGAACAAUGAUGAAUGACCAAAAUUCUCACACCUUUGCCUUUAUAAAUAGCUAUGCCUAUCAACCUUUUUGUGUAGAUAAAGACACAGAUAGACAGUAUCUCUAUAACUUUUGUUGGAUUAUUAGCAUAUGGAUAACUCCUCAACCAUUUCCUUUCAAACUCAGCUGCCAUGGGGUUCCCAUGAUUUUGCCAUCUCCACACUUGUUUCAUUUCAUUCAACACUUGUCCUAGUGCUUCUCUUUGCACCCGUUGUCCUUGUCAAAUUGAAAAGCACUACUAGAAAUAAUUACACCAACCAAGCACUUCUUCCUCCAGGGCCAACUCCCUGGCCAGUCAUUGGAAACCUUCCUGAAAUAUGGAAAAACAAACCUGCCUUCAGGUGGAUUCAUGGCCUCAUGAAACAACUCGAUACUGACAUUGCUUGUAUCCGCCUGGCAAACAUUCAUGUCAUUCCUGUCACUUCACCUGAAAUCGCUCGAGAAUUCUUGAAAAAAUAUGAUGCUGUUUUUGCAUCGAGGCCAGUUACAAUGGCAACUGAGUUGGCUUCUCGCGGUUUCUUGUCAACCGCCUUGGUGCCAUGGGGAGAUCAGUGGAAGAAAAUGAGGAAGGUGAUUGCUUCUAACAUACUUAAACCAGCAAGACUUAGCUCGUUGCUCCAUAAGAGAACCCAAGAAGCUGAUAAUCUUGUUAGGUUCAUUUACAACCAAUGCAUCAACCCUGAAAAUGAUAGUUCCAAUGGCUCUGUUAUAAACCUGAGACUUGUAGUCAGGCAAUACACUGGAAAUGUCAUCAGGAAGAUGAUGUUCGACAAAAGAUACUUUGGACAAGGCAAAGAAGAUGGAGGGCCUGGACAUGAAGAAGAAGAACACGUCGAAUCACUCUUUACUGUGCUCAAGCACCUUUACUCUUUCAUCCUAUCAGAUUAUGUACCCUGGCUGAGACCAUUAGAUUUGGAGGGUCACGAAAAGAUUGUAAGUGAGGCUGUGAGAAUUGUCAAUGGCUACCAUGACCCUAUCAUUGAUGAGAGAGUACAACAGUGAAGAGAAGGGAAGAAGAAGGAGACUGAAGACCUGCUUGAUGCCUUCAUUUUAGCAAAGGAUUUAGAUGGGAAGCCUGCACUUUCAGUUGAAGAGAUCAAAGCCCAAUGCACUGUGAGAUUCUUACUUGUCCAAACACAAUAUAAUAUAUUUUUCGGUUAACUAAAGUUUGAUGAUCCUUAUUUCGUAUGCAGGAAUUAAUGCUUGCAACUGUGGACAAUCCUGCCAAUGCAGCAGAAUGGGCAAUGGCAGAGAUGAUCAACCAACCCGAAACUCUCCAGAAAGCAAUCGAGGAAAUGGAUGGUGUAGUCGGAAAGGACAGGUUGGUUCAGGAGACUGAUAUUCCGAAGCUCAACUAUGUAAAAGCUUGUGCAAGGGAAGCCUUCCGGCUUCACCCCAUUGCACCCUUUAACCUACCCCAUGUCUCAAACACCGACGUCAUUGUUGCUGGCUACUUCAUCCCCAAAGGUAGUCACGUCCUGUUCAGCCGGGUAGGCCUAGGCCGGAACCCCAAGGUUUGGGACGAGCCAUUCAAGUUCAAACCUGAGCGCCAUUUGAAGGAUGGUUCGAUAGAAGUUGACCUGACAGAGACAGAACUGAGGUUUAUCUCUUUUAGUACAGGGAGGCGAGGGUGCAUGGGCGUGGCUCUUGGGUCUGAAAUGACAAUAAUGCUAUUGGCCAGGCUGAUCCAAGGUUUUGCAUGGAAGGCGCAGCCUGAUGAGGCAAAAAUUGACCUCUCAGAAUCGGAAGAUGAUCUCUUCCUGGCAAAACCAUUGCAUGCUCUUGCUAAACUUCGCUUGUCUGCUGCAGUAUAUGCUCAGCUUAAUUACAAGUGAAAAGAUUUAGUGCAAGACUACUAGUAAAAUAAACUGUAACUGAUUAAGUAACUUGUACGCCAAUUUCCAUUAAUCCAGCCAUGCAAGUUACAUUUCCUUGAUUUAUCCAUGUAGUGGGAACUUUUUCUUCUUUCUUAGACCAAGUGGAAAUGAAGACACACAUAACUCAUAUUCGAAGUAGAAUACAAAUAUUUUCGCUUGACGUCUCCUUUCAUAAAUUUGCAUCAUUUAUUUAACAAACUUCUUAUAUUAACGUCACUCUUACUAUAAUAUUAUUCGUCGGCUAUUCGAGCACAUUAUUGGGAUUAUAAUAUUAAAGAUUACAACGUGGGUCUCGUGUGGGCGGCCAUAUGGCUUCUGCAUGGGCGGCCAUAUGGCUUCUGCAGGACUAUGGAACUUGGAAGGGUCAAAUAUUGGGAUGAUAACAACCUUUUUAUGUCUUUCAAUCCUCAAUUCCUCACGACCUAAAAUAAUAAAACAUUCAUGGUUUGUUUAUCUACAUUGUUUACCAAACAAUAAUGAUACUUUAUAGUCGGGUAUCGUGUAUUAUCUUUUUUUUUUUUACUCAACCAAAAAAGAGAAUAUAUCAAAAGACAUUAGGAGUACAUGAUGGAUGAGUAAAACCACUCAAAGAAAAAACUCAGAAAUUCAAGCAAAAUGAAAACAACAGCUGGAAGAAAGAACAAAAACAGGACAGCUGCACAUUUCUAAAGCAUGACCUUGUUUGCAGAACACAGCAGAAGCAAAAAAGCAGUGAAGGCUGAACUGCAGGUGCAAGAAGAGAGCUGAGGCCGCACAGAUAAAAACAGUACACAACCAUGAAGCAUACAUUAAAUAGGCCGUUACCACAGAGCAGUGAACAUAGAACAACGAUCAAGACCAAGCUUGCCGAGAGAGUCAGCAAAGGAAUUACCUUCUCUCAAGACAUUGAUAUAAGAAACAUUACCAAUAGUUUGAGAAAGAUAAUCAAUUUCGUUGAAAAUCUGCCAUAGUUUCCAUGGUCUUUGACGAACAUCAGAAACCCAAGAAAGAGCUACUUUAGAAUCAGAUUCAAAGAGAAGCUGAGCUCCAAUAUAUUGAGAAGCAGAGAAAAGGCGAAGAGCAUGAAGGAUGGCCAUGAGCUCAGCAUAAUUUGAAUCAUGAUAUCCUAGGGGACCAUAAAAAAUGCCCAACAAUGAACCUUCAGAGUUUCUUAACACACCUCCACAUCUAGAGGGACUAGGCUUAUCUCAAGCAGAUCUGUUAACACUGAAUUUAAAACUUUCUUCCAACAGAGGCUAGCAUGAAGAGAUGGAGCGAGAGCUGAAAGAAGGAUGCAAAAAGUGAAUAACAGAUGAAUUAGUCUAAUAACUCUAUGAUAUAGAGUUACUUGAGCCUAAUUUUAAAAGUAAUUUAGCUUAGUUCUUGUGGUAAUGCAUAAAAAUUAAUAAGUUUUAUUUAAAUUAUUUUAAACUAAUUAAUUUAGGUGAGUAAAUCUUAUCUUCGUUAAUUUUAUGCUUAAUUUGGUGUUAAUGUAAUUAAGAUAGGUUGCUAUUAAUUUACUCGGGCUUUUGUAAGUGUUUAAUGAAUAAAGAAUUUUAAUGGAAGAAUGAGAGCAAUUUUGAGAUGCAAACUUCCACUGCACAUAUCUCGGUAAUUCACCCAUAACUCUUUCUACAGGACUCCAAAUGAGAUAAUUCUUGGAGCAUUGGAAAGAUAAGAGAAAAAGCUACAAUUUUCACAUAUACCACUUCACCCAUAUGUGUUUGUCUGGCUUAUUUUCCACAAUAAUUAGUGAAGAUAAUUUAGCAAGAAUCUCACUAUAAGAAUCUAAUUCCCAAGAGUGAAGGGUUCACCUAAAGGAAAUAUUCCAAAAGCCAUCAAUCCAUGCAUCAAAACCUCUAGCUUCUUUGUUCAAAGCUAGGGAAAAUAGGCGAAAGAACCUGAAACAAAGAGUGUCACUAUUAAACAUCCACCUAUCCAACCAUAAAUAAAGAGUCGCCCCAUUGCCAAUGCACCAUUGACAAGCCGAGAAGCCAACUAAAUCUACCACCUUGUCAUUAGUGGGGAGCUAUGUAAUACAUUUCCAAACGAGAGGCAUCUUAUUAGAGUGAGAGGUGGUUGGACUCCAAUGAAAUUUCCCAGCCCCAUAUUUCUCAGCAAUCAAACAAUGUCAAAGAGCAUUUUCCUCAAUGCCAUAUCUCCACCACCAUUUGCCAAAACGGGCAAUAUUCUUGUGGCACAGAUUAGAGAUACCAAGACCCCCAAAGUGUUUAAGCUUACAUACCGUGCUCCAUUUGACUUUUGAAAGUUUACGAGUAUUCGAUGAGUGACCCCAAAGAAAUGAAUGCCUAAACAAAUAAAUGUUGGUAAUUACACUUUUUGGAGCCUUAAAUAUGGACAUAUAAUAAAACGGAAGGGAAUUAAGGAUAGAGUUGAUGAAAGUCAACCUUCCACCAAAUGAGAGAUAUUUUCGCUACCAUAAAGCUAAUCCUUGUUUGACUUUGUUAAUCACAAGAUCCCAAGAAUUGACAUUUCUUGGAUUUGCGUCCAUCGAGAAACCCAGGUAAAUGAAUGGAAGGGAGCCCACCAUGUAGUGAAGUAUAAAGGCUAUGUCAGUGCAAAAAGAGGUUGAAUAACCUACCGGAUAAGCACAUGACUUGCCAAAGUUAAUUCGUAACACAAAAGUAAUCUCAAAAUAGCAAAGGAUAUUUUUGAGUGUAGACACUAUACUUUUUCUUUCAUUAUUGAUAUUAUUUAUUUGUUUUAUGUGUUAAUUAAACAUUAUGUGCACCUUGCCAGCACAAUAUGUUGUGCCAGAUGCAAAAAACUCGCGUCUGGCAGAUAGGUGGAAAUGGCACCCCAAGAUCGUAAUCAGGUAUCAAAACGCUACAGUAGUAGCUACAAAAACACAACGGCAACCAAAAAUCAAAAGGAAGAAAAACCCUACAGAGUGAGCAACAAAAAUUUUUCUAGCAGCCAACCAACCAACCACAAAUCCAUAGUAAAAAAAAUACAAAGAAAAAAAAACAAAAAUACAAUGAGAGAAGGUGGGUAGCUUGGUUUUAGAGUUUUUUGGUUUGGUUUUUUUUUAGGGGUAGAUUUUGAUUUUUGGAAGGGUUUUUUUUUGGCUUGAGUAGCCGGCCCCCAAAGUUUGGGUUUUGUUGCCGCCGGUUAGAGACGGAAAGUUUGGGUUUGGCACCGCCAAUCAGAGAAUGUUAAAGCUUGGGUUUAGUGCCGCCAGUUAGAGGACAAAGUUUAGGUUUUGUUGCCACUGGUUAGAAAGGGAAAGCUUGGAUUUGGCGCCGUCGGUCAAAGAGUGUUAAAGUCUGGGUUUAGUGCCGCCGGUUAGAAGACAAAGUUUGGGUUUUGUUGUCGUCGGUUAGAGGACAAAGUUUGGGUUUUGUUGCCGCUGGUUAGAGAGGGAAAGUUUGGGUUUGGUGCCGCAGGUCAAAGGGUGUUAAAGCCUGGGUUUAAUGUCGUUGGUUAGAGGACAAAGUUCGGGUUUUGUUGUAGCCGGUUAGAGAGGGAAAGUUUGGGUAAGUGCCGCCGGUUUGAAGGAAGCUUUUAGUGAAAAUGGAGAGUGACUGGGUUAUAAAGGGGAGAAAAGUUAAGAAGGAAAAGAAAGUGGUUUAUAUAGUUGGGGUUUUAGAGUAAUCGGUCAUAGGGUCCUUAAACGGCGUCGAUUAGUCAUCAAGGAGACAGACUUCUCCUUUCCUUCCUCAGGCGGUACACUUUGGAGAAUAGACUCCGAGCAGUAGGAAAGCCGGUGGAUUGAAACUGGUUGGGUAUUUGGCCCAUAAAGGUAAAAUCUUUAUCAUUUUCUUCAGAUCAGUUGUGAUUUGGCCUGUUUCAUUUUGUUGGUUCUUAGGAUUAAUGUUUAAUUAGGUAUGAUUAGGAUUUAGUUAUUUUAGCUUAAUGUUUGAAACCUCAUAAAUAAUAAAAAUGUUUAGGAAUGAAAAGAACUUAGAUUUGAAAGAAUAUUUAAACUAAGGCAAAUGAAGUAUAUAUGUAAAACAGAAAAUAAGUUGCUAAAUGGGAUUUGUUUUUAGAGAGAUCUAUAAAAAAAAUAUAAAAUGAAUGAAACAAAUAAGUGAUUGGUUAAAAUAUGAAUAUAUAAAUUAAAUUAAGUGAAAAAUGAAAAUUAUGGAGCUGUGGGUGUGGUAUAUAUUGAGUAAAAAAAAAUAUUUUAGAGAAUAUGUAUAUUCAAUGGAUUAUAAAUGGAUUAUAUAAAGUAAGAAAUACUUAAUACUGGGCAUUAAAAAAAAAGGAGUAAAGUUAGUCAAACAAUUAUGAUAAUAUAUGUAAUAAAUCAACCUUAGAAAAUUGAAUCCUAAAAGACAAUAAAACUAAUUAUAGGAAUGACAAAUAAUCAAUACCGAUAAUGGGAUGAUCGACCGAGAUGCGAGGAGUCUCAAUCCUGAGCUACUUUUCCCUAGGUUCGGAAUCCAAAUUAGGGCCCCACUAGUAUGAUGGGAGGGCCCUGAUUUUGAGGUUUCGAGAUUUUUUUAAUUUUAAAUAAAUAUAAAAUUACUAUGCAAUAAAUUAGUCAAAUGAAAUAUAAAUACAAAUAUGGCAUAGAUGACAUAUAUUUAAGUCAUCCAAAGAUAAGAACAAAAAUUGUGAAAAUGGUAAUACUCGUGACAAUAAAUAAAUAGAUAAAUAACUAAAAUAGUCAAUGAUGGAAAAUUCAAAACAAUAAAUAGGUGUAAAAUAUAAAAUUUAAAUAUCUAGUUGUAUAAAAUAGAUAGUAAUAAAUUUAUAAGUGUUAUGAAAAAUGAAUAAGGUAGAUAAUAAAUAGAAAAAAUUGAAUCAAAUUGUAUAUAAUUAUGAAAUAGGAUAUCUUGCUAUAGAUUUUGAGUGAGAAGAUUAUUUACAUAUUAAAAAUGUACACUUAAAUAACAUAGAAAUAUAGAUAAUUCAUAACAUGCAUAAUUAUAAAAGGAGAUAUAGAAAAGGAGAAUCCAUAAGAAAUAGCAAGGAAGACAUAGGAGAACUUAGAAAUUAAAAAAAAAAACCAAUAAUGAACUUCAUAAGCAUAGCAUAUAUUUCUAUCGCAUCAUGCUUGUCAUGGCAUAUAGAUAUUCUUGUUCACGAGUAUAAGUCUCGAUGAUGGGAUUUUUCGAAAAUCUUGCGAAGGCGAGUUUCUCUCAAAAAGUUCCCUAGGUGAAAGAAUGUCCCCAAGUCCCACUAGUACAAUGGGAGGGCUUGGGAAAGAUCUUUACUAAAAAGGCUUUUGCUCGCAAUAGUUUUACAUUCAUGAAAAAAUAUUUUUUUUAAAAAGGCGUACGGUAACCCCGAUGAUGGGAUUUAUUCAUCAAUUUUGCGAAGGUGAAUUUCUCAGAUAAUUCUCUAAGUGAGAGUAUAUCCUCGGAUCCCACCAGUAUGAUGACAGAUCCGGGAGAAUAUCCUCAAUAAAAGGUUAUUUGUCUGACAUUAUUUGAAUUUCAUGCCAUGCAUUUCACAAUACCUUAUCUUCACAUCAUACCUUAGAGUCAAAUAAAAUAUUUUAAUAAAAUAGAGGCUAAAAUAAAUGAAUAAUAACUAAGGAAACAUAAUAAAUUUAAGGAUUAAUGGCCCAAUAGGAUAAUCUAAAACCAAAUGGUACCGUUCAUGGAAUGGGCGUCACGGGGGUGCUAAUCCUUCCUCGGGUGUAACUGCAGUCCCGAACCUUGUCCUAAAAGACGUAAACCAGUUUAAGAUUCUCUCGACAGACUUAAAAUUAAUUUAAGACUUUAUCGAUUAGAAUUGAGUCAAUAGGUGGCCAAUCACACCUAGAAUAAAGAUUGGUGGCAAAUCUUUAGUGUUUUUCCCCGCGUCUAACGGUCGGGUUCCCAAUUGAAACCCCCAAGGAAACGAGAACCUCAUAGAUGGAAAAUUUGAUAGGACUGGUGACCAAACAAUUGAAAUUAGGGAAAAAAUGUGAAGAAAAUCAUUUCUCAUUUUUUUUUUUAAAGCAAAAGGAUAGGUAUAAUUAUACUCAUGUUAAUUUCAUGAGCUAUUUUUUGUGGUAAUUACAAUGACAAUAUUGACCACAAUCAUUUCGCACAUGAAAAACAUAAGUCAAUUUAGUCAUUUACUUCAAAUUUUGGUUUAAUGAUAAGUGAAUAAAUUUUUUAUUUAAAAAAAUUAAGUAUAAAUUCCAUUUUCCAAAUAAAUAAGUAAGAAUAUUUUGACAUUUUGAAGUGGGAGUGUCUAGCCUAGUUACAUAAAUAGAUUAAUUAUUAAUAAAUUUUAGUAUAACGAUAAUUUGGAUAAACAGAAAGUUUAGUUAGUGAGCUUAAUAAAAUUCAAUGUCAAUUACUUCUUUGAUUUUAACUCAAAUUUAGGCCAGAUUAGCUCCUCUUAAAAAGAUAUUGUACUUAAUUUUAUUAAUUUAGUCUCCUAGGCUUUACUAAAAUGGCUUGAGAUUGCAAUUUCUUUAGUUAAAUUUGAUGUUGAUAGAUAGGAGAUAUGCCAUGCCUGGUGAAAACUUUUGUAUGAAAUUUAAGUUUUUUAUUGUUUAUGGCUGAUUACUUUCAUUUUAUUUUAUAGUGUUUUUUUAGUAGUAUGGCAUAUAUAUAUAUAUAUCAAAGUAAAUUGUGUGAUACGUCUGACACAUGUAUGGGAGACAGAAUUGAUUGGGGCAUGUGUAACAGUUCCAUUGCACCACGUAGGUACAUGUUGGUUUUUUUUUUUAAGAUAAAUUAUUUAUAUCAUCACUAAAUUUUUUGGGAAUUUUCAUUUUGAUCACGUAAUUUUAAAAAAUAAAACUCUAGUCACCGACGUUUGAUUAUUAUUUUAGACACUCAACAGUUAGAAAUUAUUCAACGUUUCUACGGUUCGGUCUAGAAAUAAUUUGUUAAAAAAAAAAACAAGGAUGUUUAGUAAUGUACUUCAAUGAUUUUGCACAUGAAAAACAUAAGUCAAUUUCGUCAUGUACUUCAAAUUUUGGUUUAAUGAUAAGUGAAUAAAUUUUUCAUUUAAAAAAAUUAAAUAUAAAUUCCAUUUUCCAAAUAUAUAAGUAAGAAUAUUUUGACAUUUUGAAGUGGGAGUGUCUAGCCUAGGCACAUUAAUACAUUAAUUAUUAAUAAAUUUUGGUAUACCAUAAUUUGGAUAAAUAGAAAGUUUAGUUAGUGAGCUUAAUAAAAUUCAGUGUCAAUUACUUCUUUGAUUUUAACUCAAAUUUAGGCCAAAUUAGUUCCUCUUAAAAAAAUAUUAUACUUAAUUUUAUUAAUUUAUUCUCCUAGGCUUGACUAAAAUAGCUUGAGAUUGCAAAUUCUUUAGUUAAAUUUGAAGCUGAUAGAUAGGAGAUAUGUCAUGCCUGGUGAAAACUUUUGUAUGAGAUUUGAGUUUUUUAUUUUUUAUGGCUGAUUACUUUCAUUUUAGUUUAUAGUGUUUUUUAAAAUAACCUAGUAAAUUUGUUUUAAAAAUAACCUUUAAUAUAAAGUUAAUUAUUUUUAUCGAACUUUUACAAUGACUUGACAAAAAUAUCCUUAAAAUCAUUUUAGACAAAUUAAAUGUUCUCAAUUGUUCUUUGCCGCCAUCCAUUUGCUGUGCUUCCCAUUUUUUUCUCUUGUCAUCCAACUUUCUUUAAUUUUACCAUCACCACCAUCUCUCUUUGUCUAUCUCUCGCCAUCUCGUCAUAUUGCUGUCGAUUUACAGACCAAUGAGCAUGACAUGGCGAGUUACAACAUAUUUUUAUGUUUAUUGGUUUACAUUCACAAAACCUUCUCUUUGUUUGCCUCUCGCUCUUUCAUCAUAUUAUUGUCGAAGAGAAUGGCAUGGCGAGUAAUAACAUAUUUUUAGGUUUAUUGAUGUUGAGUUUUUCUAUGAUUCAAGUCUAGUAUAGCAUACCUUGGUUUGUAACAUCAAUAGAAAGAAGGAAGUUUUGGCGUGUAAACUUAUAUGUGAUUAUAAGUUAUAGACAAAUUAAAUGUAAACUUAUAUGUGGCUAACAUUGAAAGAUAUUGUCCAUGAAAUCAAAACUUAUAUGUGGCUAACAUUGAAAGAUACUAUCCAUGAAAUGAAAACUUGUAUAUAUGUGGCUAACAUUGAAAGAUAUUAUUCAUGAAAAGAAAGCGACAUGAGCCUAAUUUUGGGACCAAAAGUAGAAGUUGUUAUCACAGCAUAGCCAGAAAAAACAUUGAAAAGAUGUUGAAAACAUUCUAGACAUGGGCAGCCUAGCUUUAUGUGUGAUACGUCUAACACAUGCAUGGGAGACAGAAUUCUAGUCACCGACAUUUGACUAUUAUUUUAGACACUCAACCGUUAGCAAUUGUUCAACAUUACGGUUCGGAUUAGGAAUAAUUUGUUUAAAAAAAAAAACGAGGAUGCUGUCAUUAACUAGAUCAUUGAGUUAGAAUAAUGUGAAGAGAAUUGGAUUGUUACCCCAUGCUUUUAAGUCUAGUUGGUGUAUUAAUUUGUUUCCUCGGCCUUCUUCCUUACUUGUUUGCAAAAUUUAGUCAGGUUUUCUUGGUGCAUUAUAUAAUUCUUGGUGCUGGAUUUUGGAGUUUCUUAUCGUAUCUUUGUUCGCUAGGGUUCCAUGCAUAGUGUAUGUAAUCUCUAUAAUUACAUUUUAUUCAUAACAUUAUUAAAAAUUUAUAUAGUAUAGUCAAAUUUAUAAAAAUAUCAUAAAAAAGUAAAAAAAAUUAUUAAUAGAAAUAUUUAUAAUAAUACAUUUUAAAUAUAUACAGCAGUAACUAUCAUUUUCUUUGACCUUAGGAUUUGGUUUGUCUUGUGUUACAUAUUCCUUGUGACCUUGAUUUUGAUCUUUGUCAUGUGAUUAUUGGUUUGCUUAAGAUUUAACCUGAAUUUAUUUCGAUGUUUAUUUGUAUUAUCUUUGUCUUAUAAAUAAAACUUUAUGCUAUUCAAAAAUAACUAAUAAUGUUACAUUUAAAGGACAAGACAAAGCCACAAAGGACACAAAAAAGGUGACCCUUUGUUAACAUCAGUCAAAGAUUUCUGUUGCCGACCAAAAACUCCAAGGAAAUGAGAACAUCGUAGAUGGAAAAUUUUCUAUGACUGGUGACCAAACAAUUGAAAUUAGGGAAAAAAAUGUAAUGUAAUUGAAAUUAAAAAAUUUAAAAUUACGACGAAAGGGUAGUUUUUGUAACCCAAUUUCAGUAAUGAAUCCAUUCCUGAUGCUUUGGUUAUAAAGAAGAGAAAGAAAGAAAGAAAGAAAAUUCCCAUUUAACAACUAUUGAAUUUUUUUUUUACAUAAUUACCAUUUCAAUUAAUUAAUUUUUCUUCACAUAUUGUUGAUCUACUUCUUAAACAUCAUGGAUCUGUCGAUUUUAAUUUUAAUUUUUUUAUUUAUUAUUGAUUUUCAGUAAAAAAUGGUAAAUGAGUCAAAUUAAAUGUAAACUUAUAUGCGGACAUAGUCGAAUUGAAGUGUGAAUAUAGACAAAUUAAGUGUAAACUUAUAUGUGGCUAGCAUUGAAAGAUAUUAUCCAUGAAAUCAAAACUUAUAUGUGGCUAACAGUGAAAGAUACUAUCCAUGAAAUGAAAACUUAUAUAUAUAUGUGGCUAACAUUGAACGGAAGUAGCCAGACAACAUUGAAAAGAUGUUGAAAACAUUCUAAACGUGGGCAGCCUAGCUUUAUGUGUGAUACGUACACAUGCAUGGGAGACAGAAUUGAUUGGGUCAUGUGUAACAGUUCCAUUGCACCACGUACGUAUAUGUUGGUUUUUUUUUUAAGAUAAAUUAUUUAUAUCGUCACUUAAUUUUUUUUUAAGAUAAAUAUAUAUAUAUAUCAAAGUAAAUUAUGAGAAAUAGUCAACCUAAUAAACUCAUUUUAAAGAUAACCUUUAAUAUAAAGUUAAUUAUUUUUAUCAGACUUUUACCAUGACUUGAUAAAAAUACCCUUACAAUCAUUUUAGACAAAUUAAAUGUUCUCAAUUUUUCUUUCCCGCCAUCCAUUUGCUGUGCUUCUCAUUUUUUUCCCUCAUCAUCCAACUCUGUUUAAUUUUACCACCAUCACCAUCUUUCUCUGUCUAUCUCUCGCCAUCUCGUCAUAUUGCUGUCAAUUUACAAACCAAUGAGCACGACAUGGUGGGUUACAACAUGUUCUUAUAUUUAUUGGUUUACAUUCAACACCCUUCUCUUUGUUUAUCUCUCGCCAUUUCAUCAUAUUAUUGUCGAAGAGCAUGGCAUGGCUAGUAAUAACAUAUUCUUAGGUUUAUUGGUGCUGAGUUUUUCUGUGAUUCAAGUCUGGCAAAGCAUGCCUUGGUAUGUAACAUCAGUAGGAAGAAGGAAGUUUUGGCAUAUAAUAUCUAGUAUUGAAGCUUUAGCCUUGACAUAUAACAUUUGUUGUUGAAGCUUUGGUGUGUAACCUCUUCUAUUGAAAUGUGUAACAUUUGCUUAGGCUUGCAGUGUCAUUUUGUUUUUCUUUUUUGUUAUUUUUAGCUGUUGUAGAGCAUAGUAUACUAAGUUUUUGAUUGUAUAUAUAUAUGUAUAUGUAUAUAUAUCUAAAAAACUCUAAACAAAGGUGAGAAGAAGUUUUUUCCUUCAAAGUUGUCAAUCCUUUACUCCGUUCAUCUUCUUCUUUUUUUUGAAAAUUUUUAGAGUUCUUAUUUUUUUUGCAAAAUUUUCUUGAAAAAUCAACAAUUAGUUUACAUUCAUAAAUCCAAAAAUAGAUGGGUUAAAGUUACAAGUGAAAUGAAAUCUAUAAAUUAGAACACUGUCCAGAGUUGUUGCACACCAAGUCUGCAUAUAACAACUCUAAUGCACUUAAUGUGUAAUUAAUCUAUUGAAUAUGAUAUGACGUGUAACAUAUUUUUGUACAUACCUACAUGUAACAACAUUUUUUUUAAAAUAGUGUCUAGCAAAAUUUUUUUAAACAUGACUUGUAACAACAAUAUUUUUUAAACAUGGUAUGUAACUUACUCCUUUAUAUUUCAUUACAACAUAAACUCUUGGAAUUAAACACCUCAAACAUAACGUGUAAUAAUUUUUUUUCAACAUAACGUGUAACAAUAUUUUUCUAAACAUAGCGUGUAAUAAAAACAUUUUUUAAAUAGGGCGUGUGUGGUCUCUUUGUAUUUUACUAGGAUAUAAACUUUUGGAGUUAAACACCUUCACGAAAUAUAUUAAAAGUUAUUCAACAUCAACGUUACUGCUAAGAUGAAAUGGAUUUGAGCAAACAGAUAUUAUUCAAAAUCGCCAAAUUUGGAUAAUUAGUUUUAGGGUUAUUUUACUUGUUACAUUUUCUCUAAUCAUAAAAAAAAACAUGGUAUGCAAUAACUUUUUUUUUUUUCAAUAUGACGUGUAACAAAAUUUUUUUCAACACAUGUGCUUGAAAAUGAGAAGGUUUUCAUUAAAGAGCAAUUUUGUUCAAAAAUCUUUUCUCUUGGCUUAAAAACAGUUAAAAUUAAAAAUAUGGUUAUUUUCGAAAACACUUUAUCUUUAAGGGUUAAAAAAAAUCAUCCCUUUAUAUUAUAGUAAAUGAAAGAACUAUAUUUAAUUAAAAAUUAUAAUAAAAUUAGGUAAAAAGAAAGUUCGAACUUUAAAUCUUAAGUUCCAAAUAUAGUUUAUACUAUAUUGCUUUUCAGUCAGUUUCAAAAGCAAAUUAAGAAAACAAAUACCACAAAUAAGAAACAAACAGAACAAUGAUGAAUGACCAAAAUUCUCACACCUUUGCCUCUAUAAAUAGCUAUGCCUAUCAACCUUUUUGUGUAGACAAAGACACAGAUAGACAGUAUACUAGUGUUUGAUUAUUAGCAAAUGGAUAAUUCCUCAACCAUUUCCUUUCAAACUCAGCUGCCAUGGGGCUCCCAUGAUUUUGCCAUCUCCACACUUGUUUCAUUUCAUUCAACACUUGUCCUAGUGCUUCUCUUUGCACCCCUUGUCCUUGUCAAAUUGAAAAGCACUACUAGAAAGAAUUACACCAACCAAGCACGUCUCCCUCCAGGGCCAACUCCCUGGCCAGUCAUUGGAAACCUUCCUGAAAUAUGGAAAAACAAACCUGCCUUCAGGUGGAUUCAUGGCCUCAUGAAACAACUCGAUACUGACAUUGCUUGUAUCCGCCUGGCAAACAUUCAUGUCAUUCCUGUCACUUCACCUGAAAUCGCUCGAGAAUUCUUGAAAAAAUAUGAUGCUGUUUUUGCAUCGAGGCCAGUUACAAUGGCAACUGAGUUGGCUUCUCGCGGUUUCUUGUCAACCGCCUUGGUGCCAUGGGGAGAUCAGUGGAAGAAAAUGAGGAAGGUGAUUGCUUCUAACAUAAUUAAACCAGCAAGACUUAGCUCGUUGCUCCAUAAGAGAACCCAAGAAGCUGAUAAUCUUGUUAGGUUCAUUUACAACCAAUGCAUCAACCCUGAAAAUGAUAGUUCCAAUGGCUCUGUUAUAAACCUGAGACUUGCAGUCAGGCAAUACACUGGAAAUGUCAUCAGGAAGAUGAUGUUCAACAAAAGAUACUUUGGACAAGGCAAAGAAGAUGGAGGGCCUGGACAUGAAGAAGAAGAACACGUCGAAUCACUCUUUACUGUGCUCAAGCACCUUUACUCUUUCAUCCUAUCAGAUUAUGUACCCUGGCUGAGACCAUUAGAUUUGGAGGGUCACGAAAAGAUUGUAAAUGAGGCUGUGAGAAUUGUCAAUGGCUACCAUGACCCUAUCAUUGAUGAGAGAGUACAACAGUGGAGAGAAGGGAAGAAGAAGGAGCCUGAAGACCUGCUUGAUGCCUUCAUUUUAGCAAAGGAUUUAGAUGGGAAGCCUGCACUCUCAGUUGAAGAGAUCAAAGCCCAAUGCACUGUGAGAUUCUUACUUGUCCAAACACAAUAUAAUAUAUUUUUCGGUUAACUAAAGUUUGAUGAUCCUUAUUUCGUAUGCAGGAAUUAAUGCUUGCAACUGUGGACAAUCCUGCCAAUGCAGCAGAAUGGGCAAUGGCAGAGAUGAUCAACCAACCCGAAACUCUCCAGAAAGCAAUCGAGGAAAUAGAUGGUGUAGUCGGAAAGGACAGGUUGGUUCAGGAGACUGAUAUUCCGAAACUCAACUAUGUAAAAGCUUGUGCAAGGGAAGCCCUCCGGCUUCACCCCAUUGCACCGUUUAACCUACCCCAUGUCUCAAACACCGACGUCAUUGUUGCUGGCUACUUCAUCCCCAAAGGUAGUCACGUCCUGCUCAGCCGGGUAGGCCUAGGCCGGAACCCCAAGGUUUGGGACGAGCCAUUCAAGUUCAAACCUGAGCGCCAUUUGAAGGAUGGUUCGAUAGAAGUUGACCUGACAGAGACAGAACUGAGGUUUAUCUCUUUUAGUACAGGGAGGAGAGGGUGCAUGGGCGUGGCUCUUGGGUCUGAAAUGACAAUAAUGCUAUUGGCCAGGCUGAUCCAAGGUUUUGCAUGGAAGGCGCAGCCUGAUGAGGCAAAAAUUGACCUAUCAGAAUCGGAAGAUGAUCUCUUCCUGGCAAAACCAUUGCAUGCUCUUGCCAAACCUCGCUUGUCUGCUGCAGUAUAUGCUCAGCUUAAUUACAAGUGAAAAGAUUUAGUGCAAGACUACUAGUAAAAUAAACUGUAACUUAUUAAGUUCCUUGUACGUCAAUUUCCAUUAAUCCAGCCAUGCAAGUUACAUUUCCUUUAUUUAUCCAUGUAGUGGGAACUUUUUUUCUCUUUGUUAGACCAAGUGGAAAUGAAGACACAUAUAACUCAUAUUCGAAGUAGAAUACAAAUAUUUUCGCUUGAUGUCUCCUUUCACAAAUUUGCAUCAUUUAUUUAACAAAUUUCUUAUAUUAACGUCGCUCUUAUUAUAAUAUUAUUUGUCUGCUAUUCGAGCACGCUAUGGAAUGAAGGUACCAAGUGGAGAGAGAGGAUUUUUAUCCAAUUCCAGCUAAUAAUCACAAGUCUGUGGAGACAUAACACUAACAAAAAAAAAAUGACAAUUAAACAUAAUUCACAAUCAUUCCCAAAAAGUCUAAUCUAUAAUUGAGAGGCUGAAAUACUAUUAUAAAUGUUUUCUUGGAACAAAGCACACUAUUAGAUCUUUGAAUAUGAUAUAAAGAUUUCAAUCAAAAAUAAGAGAAUUCUUAUUGUAAGAUUUACCGUUUGUUGAAUUUUUCAUUUCAGAAUUUAACUUAUUAUGUUGUUCAAAUUAGAAUGUAAUGUUUUUUAUUUUAUUCAUUUAACAAUUAUUUUUUUUCUUUUUUGGAAAUCAAUGCUUCUUUCGUUUUCAAUGGAAGUCAAGGAUAACGGUUUUCACACUUUGAAAACCCUCAGGUACAGUUCAAAACAAAAAGACCACUCUAUACCUGGACAAAUACGCCCCCCUUCCUUUUACAUUGAACAUAAACUACACAGAUAUCACAAUCAAUCCUCAACAUAGGCCCUGCACACCACCAACCCAUGCAAACAAGAGACUAAGGGCUUUCCUUUGUUUACCUUUCAAGCUCAAAGCCUCACCUAACAUCCUUACGAAGGACCCGCUCCUCAUUCAAGAAUAAACAGAAGAUACAGAUUACCCACACUAUCCAAAAUCUGCCCGCUACUCUGCUGAUCUGUUGUUAGCCGCAUUCUUUGCAAGGGAGUUAGCGAUUCUUCUAGCCCCUUUCAGUGUCACGGUCUAAAAAGAGAGUCAUGAGUCCGAUAUCAACUGUGUAUUAGUGUAUGAUUGGAUAUUUAGGUGCUCAUAUCAUCUUCAACCUAUGAAUAUUAAGGGACCAAAGUGUUGAUGCCACCUCUCAAUUUUAAAUUUUUUUUUUAUUAUAUAUCUAUUUAUGAGACGCCUUAUGUGAGAUAAAAUCUUGAAGUUCCAUAAGUUAAAAUGGAUAAUAAAUUACAAGUUACUAACUUGUGUAGGGACUUAAAGAAGGCUUUUUAUCCAUUGAACAGCAUUAUGUGAGCCAAUGCAAUUAAUAGGAUUAACGAUUACUACAUAAAAGUAAUCCUUAAUAAAUAUAGAUUUGUAACUCUUCAUUUUAUUAAUGAUAAUUUAGCGACUCAAUUUCACAUAAUGAAUAAAGUCGGAAAAAGUAACAUCUUAAUUUGAACGAAAAAAGGUUGAAUCCCAAAUAAUUAAAAAAAUUUAAUAAAUGUUAAAUUUUAAAACGAGCAUUUAACCGACAAAAAGAUAAUAUAGAAGAUAUAACUAUUGAAGUUCACACACUUAAAGAAAUUAAAAGAGAACACUUCAUAAACUAGACCAUAUGAAAACAUUUUUCUUGUGUAAGAUUCAGAAAUUGAUCCAGCACAUUUAACUAGUGGCAAAAAAUACCAACCAUUGGUUUUUGGUGUGGUAUCUGAAAUUAUAGCUAAAAUGUACCCAGCCAUCACUGGGUAGCUAGGUAUGGAGAAACACAACGUGGGUCUCGUGUGGGAGGGCCAUAUAGCGUCUGCUUUGUCCCGAGCUGCUGGUCCAUAACGGUGGACGUGUCAAAUUCUGGGAUGAAUCCCCAUGGACUAUAUAACUCUAAAACAUGCAUGGUGGUCCUAAAUGCAUAUCUGUAUAUCACUUUCAAGCUUCAAAAGCAAUAUUUAGUUCCAUAUGGGAUAUAUGUUGGUGGGAAAAACAUAAUAUUUAGGACUUAGUCAAAGAAAUCAAAAGAUUAAACCGACAUCGAAAAUAAAAUCGAUAAUGAUUUUUUGGAGUUCCGUCUUUCUUGUUCGUUACUUUUCAACACAUUGUUAUUUUUCCUGAAGUCGUGUACCUGAGCACAUUUAUAUAGUGGUAAUGGGUACUAUAGACAAAAACAAGAAAGGAUCUCUAAUUCUCGACCACCCAUUUGGGUUUUUGGUAUAUAUCUUAAAUGUGAAACUCUGUAGUUUUCAUAGCUCAAUACUUAGCACCACGGCACUUCCAAGGUAGAGAAUACACAACGUGGGUCUCGUGUGGGCGGCCAUAUGGCUUCUGCAGGACCAUGGAACUUGGAAGGGUCAAACAGAGAAUAUAUCAAAAGACAUUAGGAGUACAUGACGGAUGAGCAGAACCGCUCAAACAAAAAACUCAGAAAUUCGAGCAAAAUAAAAACAACAGCAGGAAGAAAGAACAAAAACAGGACAGCUGCACAUUUCUAAAGCAUGACCUUGUUUGCAGAACACAGCAGAAGCAAAAAAGCAGUGAAGGCUGAACUGCAGGUGCAAGAAGAGAGCUGAGGCCGCACAGAUAAAAACAGUACACAACCAUGAAGCAUACAUUAAAUAGGCCGUUACCACAGAGCAGUGAACAUAGAACAACGAUCAAGACCAAGCUUGCCGAGAGAGUCAGCAAAAGAAUUACCUUCUCUCAAGACAUUGAUAUAAGAAACAUUACCAAUAGUUCGAGAAAGAUAAUCAAUUUCGUUGAAAAUCUGCCAUAGUUUCCAUGGUCUUUGACGAACAUCAGAAACCCAAGAAAGAGCUACUUUAGAAUCAGAUUCAAAGAGAAGCUGAGCUCCGAUAUAUUGAGAAGCAGAAAAAAGGCGAAGAGCAUGAAGGAUGGCCAUGAGCUCAGCAUAAUUUCUUAACACACCUCCACAUCCAGAGGGACUAGGCUUACCUCAAGCAGAUCUGUUAACAUUGAAUUUAAAACAUCCUUCCAACUGAGGCUACCAUGACGAGAUAGAGCGAGAGCUGAAAGAAGGAUGCAAAAAGUGAAUAACAGACAAAUCAGCAUGAUAACUCUAUGAAAUAGAGUUACUUGAGGUUAAUUUUAAUAGUAAUUUAGUUUAGUUCUUGUGGUAAUACAUAAAAAUUAAUAAGUUUUAUUUAAAUUACUAUAAAUUAAUUAAUUUAGAUGAGUCAAUCUUAUUUUAAUUAAUUUUAUACUUAAUUUGGUGUUAAUGUGAUUAAAAUAGGUUAUUAUUGAUUUAUUCUUAUUUUUAUAAGUGUUUAAUGAAAAAAGAAUUUUAAUAAAAAAAGAAGAGUAAUUUUGAAGUGCAAACUUUCACUACACAUAUCUCGGUAAUUCACCCAUAACUUUCUCUACAGAAUUUCAAAUGAGAUGAUUCUUGGAACAUUGGAAAGAUAAGAGAAAAAGCUACAACUUUCACAUAUACCACUUCACCCAUAUGUGUUUGUCCGGCCUAUUUUUCACAAAAAUAACUGAAGAUAAUUUAGCAAGAAUCUCAUUAUAAGAAUCUAAUUCUCAAGAGUGAAGGGUUCGCCUAAAGGAAAUAUUCCAAGAGCCAUCAAUCCAUGCAUCAAAAACUCUACCUUCUUUGUUCAAAGCUAGGGAAAAUAGGCGAGGGAACCUGGAACAAAGAGUGUCACUAUCAAACAUCCACCUAUCCAACCAUAAAUAAAGAGUCACCCCAUUGCCAAUACACCAUUGACAAGCUGAGAAGCCAACUAAAUCUACCACCUUGUCGUUAGUGGGGAGUUGUGUAAUACAUUUCCAAACGAGAGGCAUCUUAUUAGAGUGAGAAAUGGUUGGAAUCCAAUGAACUCUGCCAGCCCCAUAUUUUUGAACAACCAAACACUGUCAUUUGAGUUUAAUGUCUUUCAACUAAUUGUCAUUUGAACCAGUGAUUAAUAAAUCAUCUACAUACACUACAUACAACUGAUAAAUUGCUAACGCGCUCAAUUUUAGCUCUAAAUCAUCCCAAUCUCUCUCCAACAUUUCUAACCAAUAAAUAUCAGCCAAUAACCUUCUAAAACAACAAAAUCAGCUCACUCCCUUCUUGGAAAAUUCGGCCAAAAAUAUGACAUUAACUCGGUUAAUUUUCACUUUGUUUUUCUAUCACAUUUAACCAUUUUUCAUUAUUUUCUCUUCAUUUCUCUUAGAAUAAAAAUUAGUUCAUCAUCAUUGUACAUCACUNNNNNNNNNNNNNNNNNNNNNNNNNNNNNNNNNNNNNNNNNNNNNNNNNNNNNNUUUCUUGCCCAAUUUAAUUUCUAAACACAUUUAACUAACUAAAACUAUCAAUUUAACUAAAAAUCAAAACCUAAAAAUUUCAAUUUCUCUCCCCUAGAAUUUCGUCCAGCCCUUGAUAUCACUUUUUGAUCUCUCUCCUCAAGCAUGUUAAAUGGAAAUAAAGGCAUAGGAAAGGUAGAAAUCAAGCUAAAAUCGAAAACUCUUACCGUUAGACGCGUAAACGGUCGAAAACCGCGAAUUUCCCUUUGAAUUUUCUUGUUUCUCUUUGGUUUUUCUUUUUUUCUUCCUUUCCUCUCUAUUUCCUCUCUUGUUCUUCUUUAUGGCCGGCCAGCACUCAAAAUUUGGGUUUAAAUGGGCUGACUUUUUAUUAAAAUAAUAUUAUUUCAUUUAAAAAAUGCCACGUGUCACCUUCCCAUUGGCCCAUUUUUAAAAUUUCAUCCAUUUGUUUCCAAAUUUUCACCAUACACUUGUCCCACAUAUCCAUAGCUUAGAUAAAAUUCUCAGACUUAUCCAAAGUCUUGGUGGAGUAAUUUUUAAAAUUUACACUUUUGCCCCCGUAAAAGUGAAAAAUUACAUUUUUGCCCAAAAAACUGAAAAAUUGCCCAUAGACAUAUUUUUCAUCCCUUAUACUCAUACCAUUCUCCAAUUUGUCAAAUUUGAUCUAAAUUCUCUCACAAUCUCAAAUUUUGUCUGUGGGUGGCAAAAUUACGAUUUUGCCCCUACACUCCAAAAUCACCAGAAUUAAACUUUUUCACUUCCUAUCAUUAAAUUAUACUCCAAAUAGUUAAUCUUGGUCAAAAAUUUCACUCCAUGAUCAAAUUAUUAUCUUAGGUGGCAAAAUGACGAUUUUACCCUUAAAUAUCAAAAUUUCUAAUUUUACCCCAAAUGAACCCUCGAACUCCGAACAAUCAUUUUUAGUCAUUCCUGCACUAUUAAAUAUUAAAUUUCAUCCUAAAAUUCCUAUUUGAACUAGUUCGAGGUUAAAUCAAUUUAAGUGUACCGUUAGGUACAAUAUCAGGUUUCGUCUAUUCUUAGGUGCUUUUCUAGCGUAAUAACAUGCUACUCAAUGCAUGUAUGUCAUGACAUGUAUUUAUAGGGUCGGGUUUUACAGUUUGUUACCAACAGCCAAGUGAAUAAUCUCAUCAAUUUUUUAUGAACAACUUGUAUUAAUAAGAAUAGUAACCUGCUCCACUAAAAAAAAAAAAAAACAGCUUUUAUCAACGAAAUCCAUUCCAUCUAUAAAAAUUCAACUGUAAUUACCAAUGAAACAAGAUUGUAAGGAAUACUGAUGAAAUGAAAUCCGUCAGUAUUUCGUCGAUAAUUUAAUUACAUGAAUGAACAGUAAGAUGGUACAAAAUUUACAGAUCGAAUCUAUCGGUUUGGUAAUAGGUUACCAACAAAAUUUGCCGACCAUGUUAGUGACUAAUUACCUUAUCAGUAAUGUGGUAAGACAUUGGUCAGCUUACUGACAGAAUUCUCAUCAGUAUUUAUUUUUUAAUUAAUGACGAAAGAUUUCGACGGUGAUUUAGCUUAUAAUAAAUCUUAAAAUCUAUAUGCCAAAUUUUCCAUCCCAUUUAUCCCUAUUUUAAUUACCAAUGAAAGAUUCUGUCAAUUAUUUCAUCGAUAAUUAAAAUAAAAAUCCACACGUCUGAUUUUUUUCCUCAUGUAUCCUUAUUUUAAUUUUUGAUGAAAUCUUCUGUCAGUGAUUUUGUCAAUAAUUAAAAUAAAAAUCUACACGCGAGAUUUUUUUCCCCAUUUAUCCCUAUUUUAAUUACUGACAGAAUCUUUUGUCAGUGAUUCCAUCAAUAAUUAAAAUAAAAAUCCCCACGUGGGAUUUCUUCCCUCAUUUCUCCCUUUUCUCUUCUCUCCCUUCUUCUCUGAACAUGGCUUCUUCUAUCUGUUUAGUUUGCUACUGCUGGACUUCAUUAUAUCUUGUUUGCUGGCAUGCUUGGAGUCGCUAUACCUUCCUUUUUAUUAAACUUCCUUUUUCAAGAAAGAAGACAAAGUCUAAUUCUGAAAAAUCAUGUAUUAGUAAUUAAUCAAUUAAAAAAUUACUUAAAUUAGUAAUUUAACAAAUCAAAUGAUAAUAAUUAAUCAAUUCAAAAUGUAUGAGUAAAUUUAGUAAAAUUUAAAUGUAUUUACAUUUAUUAAGGUUAUAUUAAAUCAAUUAAAUAAUUUAACUAAUCAAAUGAAAAAAGUUUUAGUAGCUAAGCAAUAACCUAAAUUAGUAAUAUUAAUUAAUUUUAAAAAUAUUUAAAUAAAUUAAGGUGUUUAAUGAGGUAAUUAAAUAAUUUAGUUAAUUAAGUGUUUAGGGUUUAAAUGUAAUUAAGGAAUUAAUUAAAUUAGAAAUAUUAUAUAAUAUUAUGUUUUAUUUACAUUAAUUAAGCGUUCUAGGGAAUUAAUUACAAAAUUCAACUAAUUCUGAAGAAUCAUGUAUUAGCAAUUAAUUAAUUAAUUAAAUUAGUAAUUUUACGAAUCAAAUGAUAGUAAUUAAUCAAUUCAAAAUGUAUUAGUAAAUUUAGUAAAAUUUAAAUGUAUUUACAUUAAUUAAGAUUUUAUUAAAUUAAUUAAAUAAUCUAACUAAUCAAAUGAAAAAAGUUUUCAUAGUUAAGCAAUAAACUAAUUCUAGUAUUUAUUUGGAUUUUGUUUUCGAUUUAUGUUUGUGUUAAAAUCUGAUAAUGGACAACAUCAUAUGUCUGUUAUAAUCUUUUUCUCAUAAUGAAAUGAGAUAGAAAUUAGAUGUAUUCCCAAGUUGAUUCAAGUGAAUUUUUUAGGACAGAAUUUGUGAAUGUCAUAGAUGAAUUUAUUUCUUUUGCGUUCAAUCAACCAAGAUACGUGACUGAGAAUAAAAUCAAAUGUCCUUGCUCUCGGUGCAUGAAUAGCAAGUUCUUCAUUGCUUAUAAGGUUUGAGAACACCUAUUUCGUAAAGAGUUUACCAAUGCAUACACAAUAUGGGGUUGCACAUGGCGAAUCAUUCCAUGCUAAGCAAUGAUCGUGACAUUUUGUUGGUGAGCGGAAUGAAGUUGUUAAUGAAUUUAGAGUAGAAAAUCCAUAUGCUGAAAUGGUUAUGGAUGCUUUACUAUCGGAGUUUUAGUUCAAUGAUAAGAUCCAUGAUGAACCAAUCUUUCCAGAAGAUCCAAAUCCAAACGUUGCGUCAUUCUUUUUGUUGUUGAAUGAUGUUGAUGCAACUUUGUGGGUCGAAUGUGAGAAGCACACAAAACUGUUAGUUAUGUCCCAAUUACUAAAUGUGAAGUUAGAACUUAACAUGAGUGAGACAUGCUUUAAUCGUCUGAUGUAGCUAAUGAAAGGGAUGUUGCUAACCGAUGAAGCAUUGCCGACAAACCUUUAUAAAAUGAAGACACAAUUGAAAGAACUUGAGCUCGGCUAUCAAAAUAUCAUGCAUGUAAGAAUAAUUGUGUGUUGUUUUAUAAUGAAUAUUCCGAGUUGCCUUAUUGUCUAUCCUGUGGUCAUUUUCAGUAUAAACCAAAUAAAUCAAAAGGAAGAAAGGAGAAAAAAAUUCGUUAGGGAAAAUUGUAAAACACAUGACAUGGCAUGCCACACACCAAUCUAAUGAUGGAGUGCUAAGGCAUCUUGUUAAUGGUUAAGCAUGGCAACAUUUUAAUCGCACCCAUUAGUUUUUUGCUUUUAAGCCACACAGCGUCAAACUCUGUUUAUGUUCAGAUAGUUUUUGUCCAUUCGAACCAACAACGAAACCGUAUUAUGUUUGGCUUGGAAUAUUCACUGUCUAUAACUUACCUCUAUGGAUGUGCAUGAAGCAACCGUAUGUCUUUCUUAGUAUAGUCAUCCCAAAGAGGACAAGUCCCAUACAGAACAUUGAUGUGUUCCUCCGACCUUUCAUAGAUGACUUAAAAGCUCUAUGUGAUGAAGGAUUGGUCACGUAUGAUGCCUUUACUCACCAAAUUUUUUUCUAUGAGCAACAGUCCUAUAAACCAUUAAUGAUUUCCCUACAUAUGAUAUGUUGUUUGUUUGAGGCACUCAUGAACGUUUAUCAUGUCCAUAUUGCAUGGAAUAUGGAAAGAGUUUCUUUUUGGAGUACGAGAAUAAGGCUUGUUUUUUUGUUGUCAUCAACAAUUCUUGUCGAUGGAUCAUCCUUUUCAUCGCCAAAAAGAUAAAUUUAAGAAACGUGUUAAACGGGACCCUCCAAUUCUUUGGUUAUCCAAUGCAGAGAUCUUAGAACUAUUGGAGUCAAUUCCAAAUAUCAUGUGUGGGACAAAUGUGGGAGACCAGAAAUUAUCGAGUUUUGAUCAAACCCAUAAUUGGACUAAGAACAUAUUUUAGAAGUUGUCGUAUUGGCAGACAAAUCUCAUUCGUCACAACUUGGAUGUGAUGUAUAUUGAGCGUAGUAUAUUUGAAAAUAUAUUCAAUACGAUGAUGGAUAUUCCAACGAAAACGAAAGACUAUAUCAAGGCUCGCCGUGAUUUGGAGUUGUAUCGCAAGCAUUAGGAAUUGCACUUAAUUGAAAAUAACAAUAAACUUUUUAAACUGAAAGCUUCAUACACUUAAUUGAAAAUACAAUAUGGAGAAGAAUUUUAGUAUGUCAGAUCUUGGCUUAAUGAAUUAUUUUCUUGGAAUAUAAAUACGCCAAACAAACAAAGGCAUUUUUGUAUCACAAGGAAAUUAUAUCAAGAAAAUUUUCAGCAAAUUUCACAUGAGCAAUUGCAACUCAGUUUCCUUUCCUUUUGUUGUGAAUCAGAAAUUUACUACUAAUGAUGGUUGCAAGCCUAAAGAUGCUUCAAAUUUCAGAAGUCUAAUUGGAAGUCUGUUGUAUGUUUACUCUACUCGUCCAGAACUAAUGUACUCAAUAAGUCUACUAUCCAAAUUUAUGAAUGAACCUACUGAUGUUCAUUUUGCAACUACUAAACGUAUCCUUAUACAUCUUAUAGGCAGCAUCAGUUAUGGCAUAUACUUUGGCAAAUUGAAGGAAAUAAAUUUGGUCAGAUACUCAGAUAGUGACUAGGUAGGUAGUGUUGAGGACUCCAAAAGUACUACUGGUUAUACAUUCACUUUUGGCAAUGGAGUGUUUACCUGGAAUUCACACAAGUAAUGUGUUGUUGCUUAGUCAUCUACUGAGGCAGAGUACAAGGCAGCCAAUGCAGCGGCCAAUCAAGCAAUGUGGUUGAGGAAUGUCUUAAAUGACUUAACCUUUGUGCAACAGUCUCCAACAAGUAUAUUAGUUGAUAGCAAGUCUGUAAUUGCCAUCACAAAAAAAAUUCUGUGUUUCAUAGCAAGACUAAGCAUAUCAAGGUAAAAUUUAAUGCUAUAAGAGAGGCUGAAAGGAAUGGUGAAAUCAUCCUAGAACAUUGAUCUUUUGUUAAUCAAUUGGCAGGCAUCAUGACUAAGACUCUGCCUAAACCCAAGUUUGAAGCCUUUAGAACCAACAUGCAUGUGUGUUGUUGAUGUAGGCUUCAAGGAAGAGUUUUGUUAGGAUAGUCUUGAAUUGUGAUUUAAUUAGGUUUGUUUAAUUCUAAUUAAAUUAGUAUACUUUACAAAAUAGUCUUUAAAUCUAGUUAAACUAGAAUAACAAUUCCUAAUUUUAUUAGGAUAAGAUUCCUAAUUGUAUUAGGAUAAGGUUAUUGUAUUUGAUACUAUAAAAUGACCCUAUGGGUUAAAGAAUAAAAUCACCUAGAUUUAGAGAGAGUGAUUUAGGUGUAAGUGGGAUAAGGGUUAUGAGUUUAAGACUGUUUCUUGUAAUCUCCUGAUUUUUCUCUUAGUGGAUUUUUCUCUGUUACUGUGCCCGUGGACGUAGGGCAUCAAAAGACCGAACCACGUAAAUUCUUGCGUUCUUGUGAGUUUGCUUGAUUUCUUUCUUUCUUUAUUCUUUUGAUUGGGUUAGAUCUUGGGCAAUUCUUUAGAGAUAAUUCCGCAAUUUCCCAACAAACUGGUAUCAGAGCUUCAAGGUCUUGGGUCAAUCUGAAUCUCGCUAUGGCAACUUCGUCGAUCAAGUAUGAGAUUGAAAAGUUUAAUGGAAGAAACUAUUUCAGCCUGUGGCGUGUUAAGAUGCGCGCAUUGCUAGUGCAACAAGGACUGUUGAAGGCACUGAAGGGAAAAGAGCAUCUUCCCUCGAAUUUAUCUGAUGGUGAGAAAGAUGACCUUAUGGAAAAAGCACAUAGUGCUAUUCUCCUUGCUUUGUCUGAUGAGGUGCUAAGAGAAGUCACGGAUGAAGAAUCUGCUGCUGCAGUGUGGUUUAAACUCGAAAGUAUUUAUAUGACCAAGUCCCUGACGAAUCGGCUUUAUAUGAAGCAACGAUUGUAUACUCUCAAGAUGAGUGAAGGUACGUCCGUUAAUACCCACAUUGAUGAAUUUAAUAGAGUUAUUCUUGAUUUAAAGAAUAUCGAUGUUAAAAUUGAGGAUGAGGACCUAGCCCUAAUUCUUUUAUGUUCUUUGCCUCCAUCGUAUGAAAAUUUCGUGGAUACUAUGCUUUACGGCCGAGACACUCUCACUUUCGAGGAUGUAAGGGCAUCUUUAAAUUCCAAGGAAUUAAAGAAGAAAGUUGGUGGUAUUCGGAAUGAAAAUCAAGCAGAAGGUUUGGUUGUAAAUAGAGGUAGAGGUAAAGAGAAAGGCUUAGACAGAAAAGGUAAAUCUAGAGCAAAAGGGAAAACUUGCUGGAAUUGUGGUCAGAAAGGGCAUUUUCGUCAAGACUGUAUCAAAUUCAAGGAUGAUGAAAAGUUUAAUAAGUCUGAGAAUACUGCAAACGUGGUUGGAGAUGACUUUGAUACUUUUGAGGAAACUGAUAAUGUUCUUGCAAUUACUAAUUGUAACCUGAUGGAUACAUGGAUCUUGGAUUCGGCUUGUUGCUUUCAUAUAUGUCCUAGGCGUGAUUGGUUUACAACUUAUCAAUCUGUUAAUAUGGGCACUGUACAAUUAGGAGAUGAUUUCUCUCUCUCAGUUGUUGGAAUUGGCACAAUUAGAAUCAAGAUGUUUGAUGGUAUGGUAAGAACACUUGAGGUAAAACAUGUCCCUGACAUGAAAAAGAAUUUAAUAUCCUUGAGUUUGUUAGAUAAGAAGGGCUACAAAUAUAGUGGCCAAGAUGGUGUCUUGAAUGUAUCUAAAGGAGCCUUAACUAUCAUGAAGGGCAAGUUAUCCGGUGACCUUUAUUGUCUAGUGGGAAACACGGUCAUUGAAACUGUUUCUGUGGUCUCAUCUAAUGAUCCUGAAGAUGAUGUAACACGUUUAUGGAAUAUGAGAUUUGGUCAUAUGAGCGAGAGAGGGAUUAGAAAACUAAGUAAGCAUAGUUUGCUGUGUGGUCAAAAGAGUGGAAAGCUAGAUUUCUGUGAGCAACAUAGAGUGAAAUUUAGCACUAAAACUCAUCAAACCAGGGGUACAGUAAACUACAUCUAUUUAGAUUUGUGGGAUCCUUCUCCGGUGGUAUCAAAAGGUGGAUCAUUAUACAUGUGGAUCUUUAUUGAUGAUUUUUCAAGAAAGGUGUGGACGUAUCUUCUAAAGGCUAUGAGUGAAGUGUUAACCACCUUUUUGCAUUGGAAGGUAUUGAUCGAGAAGCAGACUAAGAAAAGGAUCGAGAGCUUUCGAACAAACAAAGGUUUGAAAUUUUGCAAAUGUGAGUUUGGUCUAUUCUACAAGAAUGAGAAAAUCGUUAGACAUCGCACUGUCGACAAAACACCAUAUCAAAACGAUAUUGUAGAAUUGAUGAAGAAAACACUUUUGGAGAGAGCAAAAUACGUGUUCUCAAAUGUUGGCCUAACCAAAGUAUUUUGGACAGAAGCUAUCAACAAGGCUUGUUACUUGGUAAAUCGGUCUCCAUCAACUGCAAUUGAAUUUAAGACUCCCAAGGAAGUUUGGUCUGGUAAGCCUGCUGAUUAUUUUAUAUUGAGAGUAUUUGGUUGUCCUGUUCAUGUUCAUGUGAGUGAUGGUAAACUUGAGUUGAGGGCGACAGAGUGCAUAUUCCUAGGCUAUGCAUAUGGGGUGAAGGGUUAUUGGUUGUGGUGUACUGAUUGUAAGUUCCCCAAGUUUAUGGUGAGUCGGGAUGUUACCUUUGACAAGUCUGCAUUACUUUGUGGGAUAAAGUCUAGAAUUGCAAACACAUCAGACCAAGAAGUUGGCAAGCAGGUGGAGCUUGAAAUCAAUGCUCUUGUGACAGUGCGAGAUGAUAGUGAAAUCCAGAAAGAAUUGCAAGAGGUACAAGAAUUGGUAUCUCAACGAAGCAUUACUUGUAUUGAUGGUGAUUUUGAUUCUUAUGUUUUAUUUGUGGAAGUAGAGAUUGAAGAGCCUUACUUUUAUCAUGAGAAAAUUAUAUAUGUCGAGUCUUCUAAGAAGAUUGAGUCUCUACACUGGGAUCAAACAUGGGAGCUUGUGAAAACACCUAAAGUUACUAUUGAAGUUGGCUUAGUGUGUGAAGGAGGUGCAAACAUUAGUCGUAAUGUGGUUGGCUUCUCCAAAUCAGAUUUUGCUGGUGAUCUAGAUAGUAGAAGAUCUCAAACGGGGUAUGUGUUCACUCUCUCAGGAUCUGCAAUCAGUUGGAAAGCAGUUCUUCAAUCAACCUUUGCUUUGUCUACAACUGAAGCUGAAUAUAUGGCUGUGACCGAGGCAGUGAAGGAGGCUUUGUGGCUUAAAGGCUUGGUUAGUGAUCUUGGUUUUGAACAAACACAAACAGUUGUGUUUUGUGAUAGUCAAAGUGCUAUACAUUUGACUAAAAAUCAGAUGUUUCAUGAGAGAACCAAACACAUCCAAGUCAAGUGUAACUUCGUUCGAGAGAUUAUUUCUAAAGGUGAGAUUGUAGUAAAGAAAAUAGCUACAGAUGAAAAUCCGGCAGAUAUGCUAACUAAGUCAGUUUCUGGGAUAAAGUUCAAGCAUUGCUUGGACUUGAUCGGUGUUCGUAGUGCUUGAGGCCCUUUGGGGCAGUGGCGGUGUCGACAGAGAUUGGUUCGUAAGGUGGAGCUUGGUGAAUUCAAGCCUAAGGUGGAGAUUUGUUAGGAUAGUCUUGAAUUGUGAUUUAAUUAGGAUUGUUUAAUUCUAAUUAAAUUAGUAUACCUUAUAAAAUAGUCUUUAAAUCUAGUUAGAUUAGAAUAACAAUUCCUAAUUCUAUUAGGAUAAGAUUCCUAAUUAUAUUAGGAUAAGGUUAUUGUAUUUGAUACUAUAAAAGGACCCUAUGGGUUAAAGAAUAAUAAUCACCUAGAUUUAGAGAGAGUGAUUUAGGUGUACGUGGGAUAAGGGUUAUGAGUUUGAGACUGUUUCUUGUAAUCUCCUGAUUUUUCUCUUAGUGGAUUUUUCUCUGUUACUGUGCCCGUGGACGUAGGUCAUCAAAAGACCGAACCACGUAAAUUCUUGUGUUCUUGUGGGUGUGCUUGAUUUCUUUCUUUCUUUAUUCUAUUGAUUGGGUUAGAUCUUGGGAAAUUCUUUAGAGAUAAUUCCGCAAUUUCCCAACAAGUUUAAAUAAAGGCGGAGGGGCGGGGGAGCCAGUCGCCCCCCCACCCCAACAAUUUAAGAAAUUAUAUAAGUUACUCUUUUUUAAAAAAAUUUAAUAAUUUCAUCCCUACAAAAAUUUGAAAAUCUUUUUAACAUAUUUUGAUUUUUUUAGAAUUUUAUAAUUUUGUCUCUACAAUAAUUUUUUAUUUGAUGAAAUGUCCCAUAACAAUUAGUUAACAGCUAAUUUUAAUAGGACUAAAAUAAUAACUAUUGCAAUAGAAUUAUUCCCAAACCCUACUCAUCCAAAACCUCACAACCACCCUCUCUUGUUCUCUUUUCUUUUUACCAAAACCCAUAAAAAUAAAAAUAAAAAUUUCUAUUUCACUUUUUUGCUUGCCAGCAUUCUCUGUGUGGAAUACUUCUAAUUCGGUAACUCAAUUUUUAUCUGAUGAUAAUGGGUAAGUUUGAUUUAUUUACUUAUUUUAUUUUUAAUAUUUUCAACUUUAAAUUUUUUCUUUAUUUAAUAAUUUCUACUUGGUGAUUUUGAUUUAGGAUUUACCAUCUUAAUAAUUUUUUGUUGAAAACAACAAAAUAAAGAUUUGAUUAAGCACCUAACGUUAGUUAUUACUUAUUUAUUUAGGCAUUGUUUGAUUGCUCUCCUACAAAUUACUUGUGUUUUUUUUAUUUGCUAAGAUUCUUGUGAACAAUUAAGUUUUUUAUUCAAGAUUGCUUCCUCAUUGAGUUGUUUAUUGAUAUUGCAUUAAUUUUUAUGAUUAAUUUUAGAGAAUUGCUUCCCAUUGAAUUAUUCAUUGAUAGCCCUUAAUAUUUUUUAAUGAAAUGCUUUCUAUCGAGAUUUUUGUUAUUAUAUUUGUUAAUUUUUGUUUGUUGUUAAGUUUAUCUAGAAAUUGAGAUUAUUUUCAUAUUAAAUUAUUUAUAAUUAUACUAGUUAAUUCUUUUAAGUAAAUUAUUAAGAUUGAUUCUUUGAAUGAUUUUUAGAAUUUAUUUGUAUAAUUUUCAUAUGAAUUUUUUUUUCAUUUAAAUUGUUUUCUAUUGUCUUCGGCUCUUCGCCCCCCAAACACGAAACCUUGACUCCGCCACUUAAUGUAAAGCUAGCUUUUAAUAAGCGGGUGGACUUGUUUUUGUAUUUGGUUUGUUGUACUGGUUAUUAAGGAUAAUGUACCUUAAUCAACAAGUGUUAACCAUGUGUGGUUCAUAUUUAAGGUUGUAAAUGGUUGUUCAUGAAUGAAGAACUUUGAUUUCAUCAAUCUUUGCUCUCUGCUUUUCUUUCCUUUGCUGCAGAGAACUUGUACUUCUUUCUCUUUGGAUUUGUGACAGCUCGCACUUUCUUGUUACUAGAGCAAAAUACAACAAAGAAAGUACAUACGUGGGAGAUGUCCUUUAAUGUCUGGCUGCAGAUGUUCUAACCAUUGAGAUGCAAGCUGGCGGGUGAAAAACAAUGUGUCACUCAUAUCAGUUAAGUCAUUCGUUUCUCCAUUACAGCCACCAAAGAAACAUAAAUCAUCUUUAACAACUGAGAAUAGUUGAUUCAAGAUAUUUAGUUUUACUGUACAGACAACAGCAAACAUCGGGUAUCUAAAUCUUGCUUCAUUGCCAUGUUUUUAUCAUGUACAAAGAUGAAUAAGCUUCUGGCCAUCACUCUACUAUUAUCUUUUCAACAUCUAAUCGUUAUUAUACCAACUAUUCUGACACUUUUCAAGGAUGUUCUGAAAUAAAGAUUUAAAUAACAUAUACAAAUUCAAGAAGAAAAGGAUUUGUUAUAGUAUAUGUGUCAGUGGGUACCUUAUAUACUUAUAAUGAUGAUGUUUCUAAUUCUUUUCUAUUUUUGUAACUAUGUAUUGUGAAUCUAGUCAUUGCACUGACAUCUGGUGCAUCCAAUGUAAGUUUCUUUGAGUUGAGCUGUAUAUGUUUACAUUUGACAAAUGUAAAAUCUGUAAGAAACAAUUGUUCUUAUCCUUAACCAUCGGAAUCUCCCUCCUGUUUGAAAGUUAUCUCCAAGAAGGAUGAAAAUCCUGAAAAGGUAAAUACUUUUGUUGUAAAGUUACACCUACUACUCCGAAUGCAAAGUCCAAAUGAGGUACACAUGUAUGAUUAUGAAAAAGAAAAGAGGGAAAUUAUGAGAGAUAACUUUUUUCAUAAGUUUAAUUUAAAAAUAUCAUUUAUUAUCAUUUUUAGUCAAUUUUUUACAUAACUUGACAACAAUGCCUUUUAAAUAAUUUUAAACAAAUUAAAAUGGUUUUAAUUUUCUCGAUCCCGCCAUCUAGAUAAAAAUUUUAAAAUUAAAUCUCGAUUUCUCUCUCUUACCAAAUACUGUUUAUUUCGCCUUCCAGCUCUUUCUAGCCAUCCCGAAUAGCAUAGAUAACAUCAAGCUCUUUCUUAUUUUGCUUUAUUUUUUGGAUAGUGUAUCUUGGGGUUCUCAAGGGCAAUGAAUAGCGAUUUUACUCUUUUAUAGUGAUUGCAGUAAGCAUGAUGAAUGUGGUAACUGGAUGCUUUCUAGUGAUGACUUGCUUCAAAACGUGUGCUGCAAUGGAAAUGCUUGUGUUGAUGAGUUAGAUCAGAUUGGUUAAAAUGAUGAACUCCAGGAGAAAGAACAGCUAAAGUAUGUUUAAUGGGUUUUUAUGGUGGUUCACGGUUUUGUUGUAUUUGAGAUUGAGAUGAUUGUUAAGCAUGUUUGUUAGAGAUUUUGUUUCUUUUUAUGAGAUUUUGAGUUAGAAUUGUUCAGGGAAUAUUUUGUAAAUGGAGUAUAUUUUAUUUUUGCACAAGGUGAGUGAGCAAGGCCCUUCCGAUAGGGAUAUAUUUUGUCUUGCUUCAGAGGGUUAUGGAAUUUUGUAACCUCUCUUUUAUGAAAUGUACAAUUUCUUGGCUUAGCAAAAACAAAAAAAAAGUAUGUGUUUUAAGUUCUUAAGUUUAUUGGUUUAUUCAUAAAACCCUAAAGAUGAGGAGUUGAAAUUGAUUAAACAUAUUUGUACAUUAGAAUACUGUAUGACUUUGACAACUUAAACCUAGCUGUGAGCAGGCAAAUCAAUUGGUUAUUAGAUAUUGCAUUAUUGGUUUUUAGACAUUGUGUCACUAGUUUUUUAAAUAUUGCGUAACUGGUUUUAGGCAUUGCAUGAUUAAUUUUAGACAUUGCGUGACUGAUUUUUAAGCAAUGUAUAAGUCACGCAAUGCCUUAUUAACAAGUCACGCAAUGCCUUAUUAACUAGUCACGUAAUUCCUAUCAACUAGUCAAGCAAUGUCAUAUCAACCAGUCACACAAUACUUAAAAAUCAGUCACGCAAUGUUUAAAAAUUAGUCACGUAAUAUCUACAAAUUAGUCAUGUAAUACCUAAAAAUUAGUAAUGUAAUGCCUAAAAACUAGUCAAACAAUGUCCAAAGACUGAUUACGUAAUGUCUAAAAAUUACCAAAACUACUGUAUUUUAUUUAACAAAAACAAUAAUUUCAAACAAUACACCAUAUUCCAUCUAACAACAUAAUUAAUGAAUAUGCCUACUUGAUGAAAAAUACUCAAAAUGCUUAAAGGUUUUUCUUCAUGUAUCAAAAAUCACUCCAAACUGCUUAAAAAUGCUCAAAAAGUUUUUUUUCGUGCAUAAAAAACUAUUUCAAAAUAUUUAAAAUGCUUAAACGUUUUUCUUUCUGAUAAGGAAUACUCCAAAGAUGAAUGGUCUAACGACAAAAGCUCAAAGAAUAUGAGUCGGUUUGAGACACGGACCUAAACAUAUGGGUCCGUUUCAUUAAAGAUAGUUUUGUUCAAAAUUAAUUUAUCUUGGUUAAAAAUAGUAAAAUUAUAAAGAAAACUAUUUUUGAAAACACUUUACGUAUGAGAGAUAUUUUUGAAAAGAUUUCAAAAGAGAAAUUAAUGAAAAGGACCUUCUCCAUUAUGUAAACUUGGUUCCGCUUACUUUGUUUCAUUCCAAGGACAAGUUGAGAAAAAUUUUCCAUUGUCACCCAAUUAGAGCUAUUCUCUCCCUAGAUACUAUCAACUUUCUUCAAACACGAACGAAGCCUUGCUUUCAGCCAUGGAAAAUAGUUCCUCAAAAAAUGUUACCUUUUCAUUGUUGUCAUGGGGCUUGCUUUAUUUUGCUACCUCUAGACUUGUUUCUUUUCAUUCACCGUUUCUCUUCGUGAUCCUCAUUAUAUUCCUUUUUGUUGUCAAAGCAAAGGGCAAAGCCAGCAAAACAAAGAGCAACCAAGCAUCUCUCCCUCCAGGCCCAACUCCCUGGCCAAUCAUUGGAAACCUUCCGGAGAUAUGGAUAAAGAGGCCAGCCUUUCGGUGGAUUCAUGGCCUUAUGAAAGAACUCCACACUGAUAUUCUUUGCGUCCGCCUUGCAAAUAUUCAUGUCAUCGCUGUCACUUCGCCUGUCAUUGCUCUAGAGUUUUUGAAGAAAAAUGAUUCAGUUUUUGCAUCAAGGCCUGUUACGAUGGCAACCGAGUACUCCAGUCGAAGAUUCUUGACAAUAGCUGUGGUUCCGUGGGGAGAUCAAUGGAAGAAAAUGAGAAGGGUUGUAACCUGUGAGAUUCUCAGCACAUCCAAACUUCACUCUUUACUUGAGAACAGAACCGAAGAAGCUGAUAACCUUGUUAGGUUCAUCUACAACCAAUGCAAGAGCAAUGGCCAUGAUAAUUCCACCGCCUCAGCAGUCGUUAAUCUAAGACUUGCAAUGAGGCAAUACGGCGGAAAUGUCAUCAGGAAGAUGAUAUUCAACCGAAGAUACUUUGGGGAAGGUAGAAAAGAUGGAGGCCCUGGAUAUGAAGAAGAAGAGCAUGUGGAAUCACUCUUCACAGUGCUCAGGCACGCUUACUCUUUCAUCUUGUCAGACUAUAUACCUUGGUUGAGAUCAUUUGAUUUGGAGGGCCACGAGAAGACUGUUAGUAAGGCUAUGAAAAUUGUGAAUGAGUACCAGGAUCCCUUGAUUGACGAGAGGGUCCAAGAGUGGAGAGAAGGCAAGAGGACGGAGUCUGAAGACCUCCUUGAUGCCUUCAUUUUAGCCAAGGAUUCGAAUGGGAAGCCAGCUCUUUCAAUCGAAGAGAUUAAAGCCCAAUGCGCGGUGAGAUAAUCUAACCAUACAUACCUUUUCUGCCAUGUGUUUUUGGUCUGGUCAUAACAAAAACUAAUUUGAUUAGUUAUAGUAAUAGUAACAAUAUUUAUCAUCAAAUUUGUGUUUGGUAUUAGUCUGAAUAUUUUGUUUAUGCAGGAGUUAAUGCUUUCAACCGUAGACAAUCCUUCAAAUGCUGUGGAAUGGGCAAUGGCGGAAAUGAUCAACCAACCUGAAACUCUCCUGAAAGCAGUCGAGGAAAUAGAUGCUGUGGUCGGAAAAGAGAGGUUGGUUCAAGAAGCUGACAUUCCCAAACUCAACUACGUCAAAGCUUGUGCAAGGGAAGGCUUUCGUCUUCACCCCGUUGCACCCUUUAACAUACCCCAUGUUUCAACCGCCGACGCCACUGUUGCUGGCUACUUCAUCCCCAAAGGUAGUCACGUCUUGCUCAGUCGUUACGGCCUAGGCCGGAACCCCAAGGUUUGGGAUGACCCACUGAAGUUCAACCCUGAGCGCCAUUUGAAGGAUGGUUCCAUGUGCGUUGAUCUGACAGAGACAGACCUGAGGUUCAUUUCUUUCAGCACAGGGAGGCGCGGGUGCAUGGCCGUGGCUCUUGGGACUGCAAUGACCGUGAUGCUGUUGG